CUGGAAGCAAAGCGGUUUUGGGCAUAGUGAAUGUUACAUUGUUGAUGCUGGCCACCACACGGCUUCCGUUCCCAGCCUUACAAGUGGGGCACGGGUUUAAUCCGAGGCCGACGGUGAAAAAUAGGUGGUGGUCGAUGGUGGUCGGGACUAGGGCAGGGUACUUCUUAGAGUUGAGACUACGAAGAGAGUUUGUAAAAUUGUUGGCGAUGGUAGUAGCGUUUUGCGGCGGAGGGAGAGUGAGUGUUGUUGGGGAGGAGGAUAGUGUUCCGGAGUAAUGGACAGUGGCGGUGGCGGUAACAUUGUCCACCGCGAUGGGGGAGUCCAUGAAGGGAGAAGCGGUUACAAGGUAUUUGCCGGCAGAUUUUGAGGUGGUUAGGAGGACGUUGGUGGUUUGACCGGGUGCUAUAAGGACGGUGUCGGUCUUGAACGGUUUGACGUAGACAGCGUCCACUUCCACCACCGUGAAAAGAUGGCCAGCGACUUUAAAAAAGAGCUCUUCAUUAAGUGCAGCAUUGACUAGUCGUAGCAGAUAGGUUUUGCCAUUUGUUACUGACAGUUUGUAACCUUCGAGAGCAGAAUGAGGGUUUCAUAAUCAGCUUUUUGGCAACUAUUAGUAUUACUAUAAAAAUUUAUAAAGGUAACUAAGAAAUUAAUUACCCUGAGAUGGACAAUUAUUUACGGGGCCAGAGUGUCCGUUGAUCAUGUGAGCGUCAGAGACAUUAGGGGCUAAUCCAGACUUAAGCGCCUCGUUAAUAACGUUUUCAGUAUCUGAUUUCCACCAUUCAGCUGCCAUUAUGAUGAGCAUUAGUUAGCCAUGCCAAAUUAACAUAUAUUCAUUGCCACAUAAGAUAACCGCAUUCAGCUUUAUAGGUUUUUAAUUAACACGAUGAAGUGCAAGCCACAUGAGAAUUAGAUUCAAUAUAUCCGAACUUUCUAAAAUAGAAUGAUUAAUCUACCUAGAACGAUAACUUUCUCGUGGUCGGGUUUGGGGAACGGAUAGGGAACACCACGUUUGGGGAGGAUAACAAUUGCGCCGUGAACCGUGGCUCGAAGCCACAGGAUGUGAGCGUGCCACCAGAGAGUCCCGCGUUGGCCGGUCAAGGUGUAGUUGUAUGUGUAGACUUGACCUGGCUGGAGUGGGCACUGGGUGAUGUAAGCUGGCCCAUCGGCCCAUCCCGUUCUCACUUGUCUCACACCGUGCCUGUUCUCGGUCGUCCACAGUCACCAAUCAAUUAACUAAUAAACUUACCAAUGAUGAUUCAUUUGAAGAUUAAGUAGGAGGUUACCAGUGGAUGGAGACGUUGUACUUGACGUGAUUAACGACUUUGAUGAGCAACGUGUCGUCUUCUCGUGCGUAGAUUGUGGGACCUGGAUAUCUACCGUUCACGGUCACGGUUGGCUUGCUUGAGCAUAGUCUAGUAAUGUUUUUCAUCACAACCUGUGUGAUUUUCAAACACAAAUAUAAUCAGUAAUAAUUAUAUUGCAAAGUUAGGCAAAAGGGAAAAAGGUAAAUAAAAGAAAAGCAAACCAAUAACUAUAAUCAUUAUCUGAUUGUAAGUUGUAACCAAAAAUAGAUAAAAUCAUACUUCACUUCAUUCACAUGUACGUCAAAAGUCAAAACAUUAUAUAGCCCUUUUAUAUAAAAUGAUUGUCAUGUUUAAAAGGGGGAAAACACCUGACGUACAUAACUUUAAAAUGGUAAUGUGUGCCAGUAAAAGGCUCAUAAGAUGUAAAAAUAUAUUUACAGAAAAUUUAGGUCUAAAUAUCCUAUAUGAAGUAUAAAUUACUUUUUUUUUUUGACAUCAGUACAAAUUACAUAUAUAUGUUCUAAUUAUGUGAAGCCAUAAACCAUAUAUAUCACUACGUAAGCAUGUACGAAAUAUAACUUAUGCUUAUAAGUUACAGUAGUGUGUGUGCAUAUAUAUGGACAUCUUGCGACUACUUCCUAUGUAGCGAAAGAGAUCGGCAUGGCACGUACACGAACACAUAAUAUGUAUGUAUAUAUACAUCUAUGCAAAUGGAUAGAUAUAAACUCACGUUAAAUUUGUAAUGGCGAACCAUGCUCUCCGAUGGAGCUGGGAACACAGACAAGAAGGACACAAGAAACAGAAACCAAACCAUAUGAGACUUCAUAUCUCUCUCUCUCCUCGGUUUCUCUCGUCCUUUCUCUUCUUCUUCUUCUGUGUAUUUAAUAUUCUUGUCUUUGUGUUUGAGAUGAGCGACUGGGCAACGCAAGCUUAUAAAUGAGAGAGGAGAAAGAGUUUAGAAACGAGAGAAGGAGGCAACGUCGUUUUAGGUGGUAGGUCGACCCAAAAUCCAACUCUUUAUAGUUAAGAUUCCCAUUCUUGCCACAACCAAUCUCCCUGACCAAACAAAAGAAAAUUAAUUUUCUUUUCGUACCAAAUUAAUUGUCAAAUCUCGUUUACCAUAUGCUUUAUUUUAAAUUUUGAUUAAUUUCGACAAAACUACAUGUAUUACUAAUUCGAAUUUUAUGUUUGAACUCUUCUGGAUUAACAUGAUUAUUUAGCUAAUUAACAUGCCAAUAAAACAUAUUAAUAUAAUUUUUCUUGGUCUCGAUUAUGCUCAAUUAUUUUACCGGGUAUGUUUGUACUGUUUUAAUUGUUUUUUUGUACUGUUUUAAGUAUUUAUCACUUGUACUGUGUGCAUAAGUUUGUAAUAUAACUGUGAUCAUAUUACGUAGUUACGAUGGGCAACAAAAAGAACGACACGAAGUUGGGAGUAAAUAGGGAGCACUGGCGCAUAGUUUGACCCACCGGAGCGACAACAGAAGAGUGCGAGCGUGCCAGUAAGGCUUCCACUCAUAAUGCGCUCCACACGCUUUUGUACAUUAGUGGCUUUGCACAAAUCAUUUGAUAUCUUUAAUAAAUUUAUUACUUCUAGUUAUAUAUAAAAAUAUUUCAUAGACUUUUAUUAUAAGUUGGAACCCAUACUUUACGUUAUAAAUUUAUGAAUUUUGGAGGUGCCAAGAAAAUGACAGGGCUCUGAUAGUUUUGUUGUCAAUGGGAAUUUAUAUUUCGUUUGAACUUUUUGCUGUAGUAUAUAUAUCUCUGGAAAACCAUAGAGAAACUAUAUAAUUUCAGGAAAUACAAAUCAGUCAUACCGACAUGCCGUUUUUUGAAAUUUCCAACAGUGAAAUGAAAAGAUAAAUUCUACAGAAGUCCGUCUAUGUCCUAGUCUUUACCAACAAAACAAUAACCAUUGAAUUAUAUUAUCAUUUGUUUAAAUUUAAGAUUAUGAUUAAAAAUAAAAUACAUUUUCUUCAUGUAGAAUAUAUAUGAAUGUAUGUAUGUAUGUUAUAUUUCACUGAAUGUUACAAUAAAAUAUUUCUCAUUCUCAAUAUAGUCUUGUUUAAGUCUAUAUAUAUUCUUUAGCCAAAGAAAUAUUCUUGAUGUGCUCAUUUUGGAAUUCUCCGAGAGAACUUUUGAGCUAUGGCAACAAAAUUAUUUAUAAAAUUUUAUUGACUUUUUGAAACUAAAUUUUAUUGAUUUUAACAUAUUUAAUUAGUAUGUGCAGUUUUACUGAUCUAAAUUGUUAUGAAGGUUUUGUCAUUUAUAUAUCUUUAAUUACAUGGUCUCUUUAAUCGCUAAAAUGAUAUUUAUUCCAACUGAAAUUAAUCACAAAUAUAAUCAGUUAUUAUAUGCUUGUCUAAGGAGUUUUAAAACUUAGAACUCCCAAAUUUUUUUUAAAGAUUUAAAAGUAACAGAAAAGAAAAGCUAGCUACCUAACCUAAUAUGUAUAUUAAAAACUCCAGUUUCAUGGCAGCACAAUCGAAAGAGAAAAAUAAUUAAGAAAUAAACCGAAUAAUCGAGAUGAUACAACGUCGGUUUUUAAAGGAGAAAUAUAGCCGACAAAAAUAAAUAAAUAAACUCACUUCUCCAAAGAGGGUGGCUCAAAGUCAAGGUCAAAAGCUCAUGUGUUUCAAGAGGUCAAUUUAGAUAACCAUAUAGUUGUUAUGCUAAAACAAUUUAAGAUAACCAAAUAGUUUUGUUUCUUUUCUUUAAUUUAUCCCCACCCCUUAACCAAUCAAUUUAUUGUUAAUCCUCGUAUUAUCAUGCACUUAACUUUGUCCUAACCCCACAUGGCUACGGGCUACCUAUGUAAUAAAGUUAUUUUCUUGAUGGGGGAGAUAUAUCUAAUAUUCAAUUUGGUGCGAGACUUUUUCCUCAAGGGGUAUUAAUUUGCACAUCUGUGAGCUUUUCAAUGUUUUACUAACAUAUAUAACAUCAGAUUCCAAUUUCUUAAACCGAUUAAGUUUGUUUGGUCGAAAAUUAUAAGUGGCGAGAGCAUAAACUCAUAUAUUUUCAAGGUCCGGUGAUCUAAGGACGAAAUAAAAAAGGUAAAUGUGUAAUAAAAUACGUUGUUGAUUCAUAUACCAUCUAUAUAAAUUUUGUUUAAAAAUAAAGUUGUUGGACCAAAAGAAUAUAAUAAACUCAUGGGUCAUAUAAGAGUUGUGUUGGAGAGAAUAAUGAUAUAAUAAUAUAAAUGGAUGUUGGAUAUAAUGAUAAAAAAUAUUGUUGUAAUACAAUCUCUUUUCUUUUCCUUCCUCUUUUAUUCAAACUUUGCUUGAGCAAAAAAAUCGAACCUUUAACUUUGCUCAAAAAAUAUAAUUUGCUAACCAAAUCCACGCAUUAAUUCACCACUCGCUGGUCUUCUUAAACGUGCCCUUGUUUAGUUGAAGAAUCUAACACUUGGGAAGAUCCUUAGGCGGUGGCAAAAUCGACUGAUUUGGUCCUUUGCCGUUCUCCACCAAGAAAGCCAUCUUUAAUCCCCACGUCGUGUGUACCUCCAAGUGACAAUGCAUGAACCAAACCCCUAUACGUUACAAAAUAUCAAUCCAUUACUUUUAUAACGAGGAGAUUAUAUAAUAGUAUUUGACUUCUUGCCAUAAGAUUUUUAUUUGUUUCAUUUUUAAAAUAACAUGGUGACGGCAAAUCAAGUUAUACACUAACAUAGCUUGCACACUGCUAUCUGAAUUUGGCAAGGGACAUAUGAUGAGUUAGACCUAAACCUAUGACUACUACAACUUCUAUAAACACUAGAUUAGAAUCAUUUAAUUAACUUAUUUUUACUUUGAAUUUUGUGAACUUACCGGGAUUAUCCGCUCUGAAUCUGAUGACAACCCAUCCACCAGAUGGAACUCCGAUUGUGUUCCUCUCAACCGGAUCGACCAAAUUGAAAUUGCUUGGAUCUUUCUUGGCGUUGAAGUUACCUAAUCCACGACCAACUUCAAAAAAGUUAAAGCCAUGUAGAUGAAUAGGAUGGUUCUCUGGGGCUAUGACGCCGGUAUCCUGGAGAACAAGCUGCACCGUGGCGUUGUAAGGUAGCUUGUAAAGCCUCGUCCCUGUUUCCGUGGCCAUGUUCGUGACUGAUCCUCCGCUGUAGUUGAAAACAUGCGGUGGGUUCUUGGGAAAAUCCGUCGUGAAAACGCCGCUAAUGUUAAAGUAAUGAGCUGGAAGCAAAGCGGUUUUGGGCAUAGUGAAUGUUACAUUGUUGAUGCUGGCCACCACACGGCUUCCGUUCCCAGCCUUACAAGUGGGGCACGGGUUUAAUCCGAGGCCGACGGUGAAAAAUAGGUGGUGGUCGAUGGUGGUCGGGACUAGGGCAGGGUACUUCUUAGAGUUGAGACUACGAAGAGAGUUUGUAAAAUUGUUGGCGAUGGUAGUAGCGUUUUGCGGCGGAGGGAGAGUGAGUGUUGUUGGGGAGGAGGAUAGUGUUCCGGAGUAAUGGACAGUGGCGGUGGCGGUAACAUUGUCCACCGCGAUGGGGGAGUCCAUGAAGGGAGAAGCGGUUACAAGGUAUUUGCCGGCAGAUUUUGAGGUGGUUAGGAGGACGUUGGUGGUUUGACCGGGUGCUAUAAGGACGGUGUCGGUCUUGAACGGUUUGACGUAGACAGCGUCCACUUCCACCACCGUGAAAAGAUGGCCAGCGACUUUAAAAAAGAGCUCUUCAUUAAGUGCAGCAUUGACUAGUCGUAGCAGAUAGGUUUUGCCAUUUGUUACUGACAGUUUGUAACCUUCGAGAGCAGAAUGAGGGUUUCAUAAUCAGCUUUUUGGCAACUAUUAGUAUUACUAUAAAAAUUUAUAAAGGUAACUAAGAAAUUAAUUACCCUGAGAUGGACAAUUAUUUACGGGGCCAGAGUGUCCGUUGAUCAUGUGAGCGUCAGAGACAUUAGGGGCUAAUCCAGACUUAAGCGCCUCGUUAAUAACGUUUUCAGUAUCUGAUUUCCACCAUUCAGCUGCCAUUAUGAUGAGCAUUAGUUAGCCAUGCCAAAUUAACAUAUAUUCAUUGCCACAUAAGAUAACCGCAUUCAGCUUUAUAGGUUUUUAAUUAACACGAUGAAGUGCAAGCCACAUGAGAAUUAGAUUCAAUAUAUCCGAACUUUCUAAAAUAGAAUGAUUAAUCUACCUAGAACGAUAACUUUCUCGUGGUCGGGUUUGGGGAACGGAUAGGGAACACCACGUUUGGGGAGGAUAACAAUUGCGCCGUGAACCGUGGCUCGAAGCCACAGGAUGUGAGCGUGCCACCAGAGAGUCCCGCGUUGGCCGGUCAAGGUGUAGUUGUAUGUGUAGACUUGACCUGGCUGGAGUGGGCACUGGGUGAUGUAAGCUGGCCCAUCGGCCCAUCCCGUUCUCACUUGUCUCACACCGUGCCUGUUCUCGGUCGUCCACAGUCACCAAUCAAUUAACUAAUAAACUUACCAAUGAUGAUUCAUUUGAAGAUUAAGUAGGAGGUUACCAGUGGAUGGAGACGUUGUACUUGACGUGAUUAACGACUUUGAUGAGCAACGUGUCGUCUUCUCGUGCGUAGAUUGUGGGACCUGGAUAUCUACCGUUCACGGUCACGGUUGGCUUGCUUGAGCAUAGUCUAGUAAUGUUUUUCAUCACAACCUGUGUGAUUUUCAAACACAAAUAUAAUCAGUAAUAAUUAUAUUGCAAAGUUAGGCAAAAGGGAAAAAGGUAAAUAAAAGAAAAGCAAACCAAUAACUAUAAUCAUUAUCUGAUUGUAAGUUGUAACCAAAAAUAGAUAAAAUCAUACUUCACUUCAUUCACAUGUACGUCAAAAGUCAAAACAUUAUAUAGCCCUUUUAUAUAAAAUGAUUGUCAUGUUUAAAAGGGGGAAAACACCUGACGUACAUAACUUUAAAAUGGUAAUGUGUGCCAGUAAAAGGCUCAUAAGAUGUAAAAAUAUAUUUACAGAAAAUUUAGGUCUAAAUAUCCUAUAUGAAGUAUAAAUUACUUUUUUUUUUUGACAUCAGUACAAAUUACAUAUAUAUGUUCUAAUUAUGUGAAGCCAUAAACCAUAUAUAUCACUACGUAAGCAUGUACGAAAUAUAACUUAUGCUUAUAAGUUACAGUAGUGUGUGUGCAUAUAUAUGGACAUCUUGCGACUACUUCCUAUGUAGCGAAAGAGAUCGGCAUGGCACGUACACGAACACAUAAUAUGUAUGUAUAUAUACAUCUAUGCAAAUGGAUAGAUAUAAACUCACGUUAAAUUUGUAAUGGCGAACCAUGCUCUCCGAUGGAGCUGGGAACACAGACAAGAAGGACACAAGAAACAGAAACCAAACCAUAUGAGACUUCAUAUCUCUCUCUCUCCUCGGUUUCUCUCGUCCUUUCUCUUCUUCUUCUUCUGUGUAUUUAAUAUUCUUGUCUUUGUGUUUGAGAUGAGCGACUGGGCAACGCAAGCUUAUAAAUGAGAGAGGAGAAAGAGUUUAGAAACGAGAGAAGGAGGCAACGUCGUUUUAGGUGGUAGGUCGACCCAAAAUCCAACUCUUUAUAGUUAAGAUUCCCAUUCUUGCCACAACCAAUCUCCCUGACCAAACAAAAGAAAAUUAAUUUUCUUUUCGUACCAAAUUAAUUGUCAAAUCUCGUUUACCAUAUGCUUUAUUUUAAAUUUUGAUUAAUUUCGACAAAACUACAUGUAUUACUAAUUCGAAUUUUAUGUUUGAACUCUUCUGGAUUAACAUGAUUAUUUAGCUAAUUAACAUGCCAAUAAAACAUAUUAAUAUAAUUUUUCUUGGUCUCGAUUAUGCUCAAUUAUUUUACCGGGUAUGUUUGUACUGUUUUAAUUGUUUUUUUGUACUGUUUUAAGUAUUUAUCACUUGUACUGUGUGCAUAAGUUUGUAAUAUAACUGUGAUCAUAUUACGUAGUUACGUUAACUUGUCUGCUCAAUUCCUCACUAAUUUAUUUGAUUUUUACGGACUCUUAUAAUUCUGGAGAUUUUUUUUUUUUUUUGAACACCAAAUGCUUAUAAUUCUGGAGAUCAUUCCAUUGUUUUUGCAUAAAAGGAUAUACGCGUACGUAGAUAAACGGUAUCACUGUAAUCAGCUUGCGCACUGUGUUUAUAAUAUAUAUAGAGCAUCCGAACCAAGUAGUAUAUGCCGAUUUGUCUACAGAAUUAGAUAGAAGAAUGAAAAACCUUAGGUGAACAUUCUGGAGUUAUUAUAUAUACACACACACAUAUAUAUAUAUAUAUAUAUAUAUAUAUAUAUAUAUUUGCGACAGAUCGAUGGACUAAUGAUACUUACUUAUAGUUGACUAAUGUUCAUCUGAAAAUGAUAAUUAAUGGCAUUAACGAUUCAUCAGCAUAUAUGACAUAUGAAUUAUGAUAUUGAUUUCCUAGACUUUAUUUGUCUUAUAUAAGCAAGAGAAAGCUCUUGAUCUUUAUUUUAUAUGAUCUAUAGAUAAUGUAGACUCAUAUUGUUGUCAAGAGGAAAUUUCAAAAUUGUGAAAAGAAAAAAUAUAGACUUAUAAUGUCUAUAGAUUGUGUCAUACUUUGGUGAGAAGUACACGUCUGAACUCGAAGUAACAUUUUAAACGACUACAACAAAAAAUAUACACUAAUUUCGAUAGAUGGUCUUAUAUAUGAAUCCAUUUAAAGAUAUCGUACAUCUCUGUUCCUUCGAGUAUACAUAAAACAUUUUCUGCUUUUUGCAAUUCUGCUUCACACUUUAAUUAAGUAUUUUUAUUUUGUGGCGGUGAGUAUUUAAAAUGUUAUAAUAGAGAUAUAUAGUCUAACUCUAAAUCAGAUAAAAAAACGAAAAAAACUCUUGACCGUGUAUUUAUUCGAUAAUUAACAUGUGAAUGGAUUCUCAAAUAAUCUAACUGCCGGUUCAAGGCAAAUACUUGUGUCUUUAUAGAAAGAAAAAAAAAUCCCAUAAAGUUAGAUUGAUUUGUUAUACUCGAAUUUGGAUAGUGGUUUCAAUAUAGUCGCGCAUAAUAUUAAAAAUAAUGUUAAAAAGUGGCUUAGAAGCUGUGUGAAAUGAGGUGGAGAUUAGAAUGCUUAGAAACUAAGACAGUAAACUAGUUGUGAAAUGGCUUUCACGUCGUUUUAAACAAUGACCCAACAAAGACAGCCUCUCUCUCUUGCUUGGGUUUGUUUCAAAGCUAAGGUUAAUGAGAAAUGCGUUUCACUUUUGCCGUUUUGCUCAUACACAAUAUUGGACAUGUGUGGAAUGGAGAUAGUAAGAACCUAAGAUAUGUUCUUAUUUUAUUACAUUUUGUGGUCGAAUUGCUUAUUAUUAUGUUUUUUUUGUCGUACCGGAGAUGUUGCAGUUAAGCACUUUGUCCGACUCCGACAGAUGACUUGAUGAGUUGUCAUGGUUAAAACGGGUGAAGUGUAAGUAUCCUCCAAGUUGAAGUUACUUAAUUUGUUAUUGUCAUUUUCUCAACAAUCUUUGAAAGAUCAUUGCCGUCCAAACGACAACAUAAUAACAAUAGAAAUUUUAGAAAAUAUCAAUUAGCAUCUAAUUGUAUGUCUUAUCGCCUUUGACCAAAAAGUGUAGCCACAUUGCUUGGUUAACAAUUUUAAAAAAUAACCGGGAUAGAUACUUUGUCAGAAUCAUACUAUUUUAAUAACCGGAGUAGAUAUCGGACCAAAGUCCAAACUAAUAAUAAAAGUCUUAACUCACAAAACGAUAUUAUUUUCUACCCAUUUGAAGAAACGACUGGGCCACAUAGCCUUGGUUCUGGUGUCGGUUUACCAUUGAUACUGUGGUUUUUAUAGCCGGUAUAUGGAUUAAUAUCACAUCGGACCGGAUAGAAGAAAGAGAACCGAGGAGGUUAGGUGAUACGAGAGGAGGCUGGUUCGAACCCAGUAAGUUGCCUGAAUUUUUCGUUAGAUGAUUAAGUGGUUGGGCUGGGCUAUAAUAACUUAGUCUUGGCCCGGGAUUGUUUUCUUCUCUACACGUGUUCCAACUUGAUCCCGCGCGCACGUGCGAGCCACAGGUGUUACAUUGACAAGUUAAAUGUAGAAACGGGUUUAGUAACCGGUUUAAUUCUCUUGAUGUUGGUUUAUUCUACAAGAGUGCAACAUUGUAUCCUUUAGACAAAUCUUUUAAAUAUAUCAAAUGUUUGAACAGAAGAGUGAAAAGUGUGAUGUAUUGUUCAUGUGAGACUUAAGAAAGACAAAACUAGUGGUUCUAACGAAACAAGACAUAACAAAUACAGAUGAAUCCAAAGACAAAUGUCACUGUCUGCAAAUGUUUGGUCCGAACCAGAAGCUAAACUAAAGAAAGCAAAGCUUCCAAGUUGUUCCUCUCCACAAGAGAUUUUCUUUUUUCUCUUUGCUAUAAGCUGAGAUCUUCGACAGUUCUCUAAGAAAAGCCUCUUACAGUCUUACCAAUGGAAAUCGAAAAGAGCUUCAAGAUCCUGCGAGUUUUGUCUUUGCGUUAGUUAGUAUUUGGUUUGGUUUUGUCAAUGAUUCAAAAGCCUUUAUGUUUAUCGACUUACAUACACAAUCUCUGCUUCAGGCGAAGCUGGGGUUAAUUAUCUCUGAUCUCCCGGAUCCUGAACCAUCUUCAUCAUCAUCAUCAUCUUCCUUCACACUCUCAUCUGACUCCUCUCCAGCUAGCUCACGUGCAGCUGCAAGCUCCUUCUCAAGCUCCUCUUGUUUCUCCUGCAGUCCCGACAUGCUCAAAGCAUCAGCUAUCUUCUGCUUGAUCUGCAUCUCAAGCGCCUCGAUCUUCUGACUCCCCUGAUCAGGCAUCCGGCUCGCCUUUGCGGUCUCCACUUUCAGCAACUCAACCAUGCUCUUGAUCUCCGGCGUCCUCACCACCUCCUCAAUCUUCUCGUUGAUCUCUCGGUUCAGCUUCUCAAGCUUCUCUUGAAUGUUUUCGUUCGGAGACUCAGCUACUACCUCCUUCAGAUUCGGUUUCACAGCCUCCAGCUCCAGACCCAUUGACUUCAACACAACAGCCAUCUCUGCUUCAACCUCCCUCUUCGUCUUCAAAACUUUCUCUUUCAGCUCAUCGCUCAACUCUUCAAAAGAAGACGCACCUGAGCUAGCAACCUCGGCUUUAACCGCUUCAACCUUCUCUCUGACCUCAGGACGCUCCACAGCUUCCCGAAACCUCUUAUCAAUCUCCUUCUUCACCGAAGCGGCUUCUGAGGCCGCCUUGGCUCUGGAGAAGUCCUUCAACAUGUCCAGCUUAGCUUUUAAACUCUCGUAGUUAGGAGCUUCGCUCAAACGAGCAUUGAAUUCUUCUUUAAGCUUCUCGAUUCUCUCAAUGAGCACCGGGUGCAUAAGAUGCUCCUCUGCAUUGGCUUUGGAGAACUCCUCCCGCGUCGCGGCUAGCCUCUCCUCUAACCCCAUUGCCUUUGCGGCUUUAGUGUACUCUUCGUCGAUAUCCGAUUUAAGUUUCUCAAUCAUCUCGUUAAGAACUUCACUCGAAAGCUCCACCUCAGACUCUGGAGAGGCUUCCUUGGCUUUCAGAAUCUGCUCCCUCAGCUUCUCAACCUCGCCCUCUAGGUUCCGGCUGGUGGAGGCCACAGCGUCUCUCCUCUUCAUGUUGAUUUUCUUCUCAGGCUCUACUGGUUCACCCUCAAUGAACACUCCGAUCUUUCGGUACUUAGCCAUCCUGUGCUUCAGCAGCUCCUCCCCACUCAUUUUCCCAAAUUCCUGAAGAAGCACAAAAUCAAAAGGUUAGAAACUGUUCUGUUAAAGCGUGUGAGGCAAGUAAACUAUGCUUUACAUUCAUGUUUUCAUUGAUAGCAAUCUUUAUCUGCUGCGAUGUCCAUGAAGGAUCAGCAUGGGCUCCACCAAGAGGUUCCUGUAUAACAAAGUAAGAGAGAGUAACUCACUGAUCCAAAUCAAGAAAAUAUAGAUGCAAGAGAUAGGUUUAGUUACUUACAGGUAUGAUUCCAUCGGCUACAUUAAGAUUGACCAGCUCCUUGGAGGUAAUCCUAAGCUUUUCAGCAGCCUGUGUACAAAGAGAUUCAUUCAAUUGUAACAUCAAAUAUUACAAGAUCACUGAAACAAGUAGCAGAAGAGUGUACAGACCUCAGGAGCAGCCUUGGAACUAUUCCACAAGAUCGCUGCACAUGCCUCUGGACUGUGAAAGCAUAACAACACACAGAAUAAACCAACCUGUAAUAAUAUUCUUACCUACAUUGGAGGAAAGUUCUUACCUGGCAACAUAGAAAACAGCGUUUUCAAGCAUCAGCAUUUUAUUAGCACAGCCAAUAGCCAAGGCACCUCCAGAACCACCUUCUCCAAUGACAAUAGAAAGAAUCGGCACUUUCAAGCCGAACAUUGUCCUCAGAUUGUUGGCAAUCGCUUCACCCUAUUAUACACAUAACAGACAAAAAAAAAAAUGCAGUGAUGAAGACAAACCAGUACGCUUCAAACAUAAAAGACAGUUCAUGUACCUGUCCGAGUUCCUCAGAUUUAAGAUCUGCAUAGGCUCCAGGAGUGUCGAUGAACGUCACAAUGGGGAAACCAUGAUGGUCUGCGUAAUACAUCAUCCGUAACGCCUUCCUGUAACUGUUGUUGGCAUUACAGAAGAUUUAAUGAGAGUGUUGUUAACUAUUUAACAAAAAACCAUGAACUUCUAAAAGACAAACAUACCCAUGAGGAGUAGGCAUCCCAAAGUUACGCAUUAUAUUCUCUUUGGUGUUUCUUCCUUUCUGGUGACCAAUGAACAUGUAACGUUUCCCAUCUAUGGUUCCAAUACCAGUCACAAUGGCUGGAUCAUCAUACCCCGCCCGGUCUCCAUGAAGCUCCAUAAACUGAAAAACAAAAAAAAAAGGUUUAUCUCCAAUGUAUGACAAAAAAAGUAAUGAGAGAGCAGACCUUGUCAGUGAUGUUAUGUAUAUGAUCAAGGAAAGUAGGACGGUUGGGAUGUCGUGCAAUGUUCACGCGCUGUAUCGGUGUGAGAUGCGUGUAAAGAUCCUUCAGCGCCUGUCUAUACUUGGUUUCCAAAGUGAUGAUCUGAUCAGUGAAGUCCAAACCAGUUUCAGCCGCCAUCUUCCUCACCUGCAUCCACCACCAAAAGGACCAAUGUUAAAANNNNNNNNNNNNNNNNNNNNNNNNNNNNNNNNNNNNNNNNNNNNNNNNNNNNNNNNNNNNNNNNNNNNNNNNNNNNNNNNNNNNNNNNNNNNNNNNNNNNNNNNNNNNNNNNNNNNNNNNNNNNNNNNNNNNNNNNNNNNNNNNNNNNNNNNNNNNNNNNNNNNNNNNNNNNNNNNNNNNNNNNNNNNNNNNNNNNNNNNNNNNNNNNNNNNNNNNNNNNNNNNNNNNNNNNNNNNNNNNNNNNNNNNNNNNNNNNNNNNNNNNNNNNNNNNNNNNNNNNNNNNNNNNNNNNNNNNNNNNNNNNNNNNNNNNNNNNNNNNNNNNNNNNNNNNNNNNNNNNNNNNNNNNNNNNNNNNNNNNNNNNNNNNNNNNNNNNNNNNNNNNNNNNNNNNNNNNNNNNNNNNNNNNNNNNNNNNNNNNNNNNNNNNNNNNNNNNNNNNNNNNNNNNNNNNNNNNNNNNNNNNNNNNNNNNNNNNNNNNNNNNNNNNNNNNNNNNNNNNNNNNNNNNNNNNNNNNNNNNNNNNNNNNNNNNNNNNNNNNNNNNNNNNNNNNNNNNNNNNNNNNNNNNNNNNNNNNNNNNNNNNNNNNNNNNNNNNNNNNNNNNNNNNNNNNNNNNNNNNNNNNNNNNNNNNNNNNNNNNNNNNNNNNNNNNNNNNNNNNNNNNNNNNNNNNNNNNNNNNNNNNNNNNNNNNNNNNNNNNNNNNNNNNNNNNNNNNNNNNNNNNNNNNNNNNNNNNNNNNNNNNNNNNNNNNNNNNNNNNNNNNNNNNNNNNNNNNNNNNNNNNNNNNNNNNNNNNNNNNNNNNNNNNNNNNNNNNNNNNNNNNNNNNNNNNNNNNNNNNNNNNNNNNNNNNNNNNNNNNNNNNNNNNNNNNNNNNNNNNNNNNNNNNNNNNNNNNNNNNNNNNNNNNNNNNNNNNNNNNNNNNNNNNNNNNNNNNNNNNNNNNNNNNNNNNNNNNNNNNNNNNNNNNNNNNNNNNNNNNNNNNNNNNNNNNNNNNNNNNNNNNNNNNNNNNNNNNNNNNNNNNNNNNNNNNNNNNNNNNNNNNNNNNNNNNNNNNNNNNNNNNNNNNNNNNNNNNNNNNNNNNNNNNNNNNNNNNNNNNNNNNNNNNNNNNNNNNNNNNNNNNNNNNNNNNNNNNNNNNNNNNNNNNNNNNNNNNNNNNNNNNNNNNNNNNNNNNNNNNNNNNNNNNNNNNNNNNNNNNNNNNNNNNNNNNNNNNNNNNNNNNNNNNNNNNNNNNNNNNNNNNNNNNNNNNNNNNNNNNNNNNNNNNNNNNNNNNNNNNNNNNNNNNNNNNNNNNNNNNNNNNNNNNNNNNNNNNNNNNNNNNNNNNNNNNNNNNNNNNNNNNNNNNNNNNNNNNNNNNNNNNNNNNNNNNNNNNNNNNNNNNNNNNNNNNNNNNNNNNNNNNNNNNNNNNNNNNNNNNNUGGGCAACAAAAAGAACGACACGAAGUUGGGAGUAAAUAGGGAGCACUGGCGCAUAGUUUGACCCACCGGAGCGACAACAGAAGAGUGCGAGCGUGCCAGUAAGGCUUCCACUCAUAAUGCGCUCCACACGCUUUUGUACAUUAGUGGCUUUGCACAAAUCAUUUGAUAUCUUUAAUAAAUUUAUUACUUCUAGUUAUAUAUAAAAAUAUUUCAUAGACUUUUAUUAUAAGUUGGAACCCAUACUUUACGUUAUAAAUUUAUGAAUUUUGGAGGUGCCAAGAAAAUGACAGGGCUCUGAUAGUUUUGUUGUCAAUGGGAAUUUAUAUUUCGUUUGAACUUUUUGCUGUAGUAUAUAUAUCUCUGGAAAACCAUAGAGAAACUAUAUAAUUUCAGGAAAUACAAAUCAGUCAUACCGACAUGCCGUUUUUUGAAAUUUCCAACAGUGAAAUGAAAAGAUAAAUUCUACAGAAGUCCGUCUAUGUCCUAGUCUUUACCAACAAAACAAUAACCAUUGAAUUAUAUUAUCAUUUGUUUAAAUUUAAGAUUAUGAUUAAAAAUAAAAUACAUUUUCUUCAUGUAGAAUAUAUAUGAAUGUAUGUAUGUAUGUUAUAUUUCACUGAAUGUUACAAUAAAAUAUUUCUCAUUCUCAAUAUAGUCUUGUUUAAGUCUAUAUAUAUUCUUUAGCCAAAGAAAUAUUCUUGAUGUGCUCAUUUUGGAAUUCUCCGAGAGAACUUUUGAGCUAUGGCAACAAAAUUAUUUAUAAAAUUUUAUUGACUUUUUGAAACUAAAUUUUAUUGAUUUUAACAUAUUUAAUUAGUAUGUGCAGUUUUACUGAUCUAAAUUGUUAUGAAGGUUUUGUCAUUUAUAUAUCUUUAAUUACAUGGUCUCUUUAAUCGCUAAAAUGAUAUUUAUUCCAACUGAAAUUAAUCACAAAUAUAAUCAGUUAUUAUAUGCUUGUCUAAGGAGUUUUAAAACUUAGAACUCCCAAAUUUUUUUUAAAGAUUUAAAAGUAACAGAAAAGAAAAGCUAGCUACCUAACCUAAUAUGUAUAUUAAAAACUCCAGUUUCAUGGCAGCACAAUCGAAAGAGAAAAAUAAUUAAGAAAUAAACCGAAUAAUCGAGAUGAUACAACGUCGGUUUUUAAAGGAGAAAUAUAGCCGACAAAAAUAAAUAAAUAAACUCACUUCUCCAAAGAGGGUGGCUCAAAGUCAAGGUCAAAAGCUCAUGUGUUUCAAGAGGUCAAUUUAGAUAACCAUAUAGUUGUUAUGCUAAAACAAUUUAAGAUAACCAAAUAGUUUUGUUUCUUUUCUUUAAUUUAUCCCCACCCCUUAACCAAUCAAUUUAUUGUUAAUCCUCGUAUUAUCAUGCACUUAACUUUGUCCUAACCCCACAUGGCUACGGGCUACCUAUGUAAUAAAGUUAUUUUCUUGAUGGGGGAGAUAUAUCUAAUAUUCAAUUUGGUGCGAGACUUUUUCCUCAAGGGGUAUUAAUUUGCACAUCUGUGAGCUUUUCAAUGUUUUACUAACAUAUAUAACAUCAGAUUCCAAUUUCUUAAACCGAUUAAGUUUGUUUGGUCGAAAAUUAUAAGUGGCGAGAGCAUAAACUCAUAUAUUUUCAAGGUCCGGUGAUCUAAGGACGAAAUAAAAAAGGUAAAUGUGUAAUAAAAUACGUUGUUGAUUCAUAUACCAUCUAUAUAAAUUUUGUUUAAAAAUAAAGUUGUUGGACCAAAAGAAUAUAAUAAACUCAUGGGUCAUAUAAGAGUUGUGUUGGAGAGAAUAAUGAUAUAAUAAUAUAAAUGGAUGUUGGAUAUAAUGAUAAAAAAUAUUGUUGUAAUACAAUCUCUUUUCUUUUCCUUCCUCUUUUAUUCAAACUUUGCUUGAGCAAAAAAAUCGAACCUUUAACUUUGCUCAAAAAAUAUAAUUUGCUAACCAAAUCCACGCAUUAAUUCACCACUCGCUGGUCUUCUUAAACGUGCCCUUGUUUAGUUGAAGAAUCUAACACUUGGGAAGAUCCUUAGGCGGUGGCAAAAUCGACUGAUUUGGUCCUUUGCCGUUCUCCACCAAGAAAGCCAUCUUUAAUCCCCACGUCGUGUGUACCUCCAAGUGACAAUGCAUGAACCAAACCCCUAUACGUUACAAAAUAUCAAUCCAUUACUUUUAUAACGAGGAGAUUAUAUAAUAGUAUUUGACUUCUUGCCAUAAGAUUUUUAUUUGUUUCAUUUUUAAAAUAACAUGGUGACGGCAAAUCAAGUUAUACACUAACAUAGCUUGCACAAUGCUAUCUGAAUUUGGCAAGGGACAUAUGAUGAGUUAGACCUAAACCUAUGACUACUACAACUUCUAUAAACACUAGAUUAGAAUCAUUUAAUUAACUUAUUUUUACUUUGAAUUUGGUGAACUUACCGGGAUUAUCCGCUCUGAAUCUGAUGACAACCCAUCCACCAGAUGGAACUCCGAUUGUGUUCCUCUCAACAGGAUCGACCAAAUUGAAAUUGCUUGGAUCUUUCUUGGCGUUGAAGUUACCUAAUCCACGACCAACUUCAAAGAAGUUAAAGCCAUGUAGAUGAAUAGGAUGGUUCUCUGGGGCUAUGACGCCGGUAUCCUGGAGAACAAGCUGCACCGUGGCGUUGUAAGGUAGCUUGUAAAGCCUCGUCCCUGUUUCCGUGGCCAUGUUCGUGACUGAUCCUCCGCUGUAGUUGAAAACAUGCGGUGGGUUCUUGGGAAAAUCCGUCGUGAAAACGCCGCUAAUGUUAAAGUAAUGAGCUGGAAGCAAAGCGGUUUUGGGCAUAGUGAAUGUUACAUUGUUGAUGCUGGCCACCACACGGCUUCCGUUCCCAGCCUUACAAGUGGGGCACGGGUUUAAUCCGAGGCCGACGGUGAAAAAUAGGUGGUGGUCGAUGGUGGUCGGGACUAGGGCAGGGUACUUCUUAGAGUUGAGACUACGAAGAGAGUUUGUAAAGUUGUUGGCGAUGGUAGUAGCGUUUUGCGGCGGAGGGAGAGUGAGUGUUGUUGGGGAGGAGGAUAGUGUUCCGGAGUAAUGAACAGUGGCGGUGGCGGUAACAUUGUCCACCGCGAUGGGGGAGUCCAUGAAGGGAGAAGCUGUUACAAGGUAUUUGCCGGCAGAUUUUGAGGUGGUUAGGAGGACGUUGGUGGUUUGACCGGGUGCUAUAAGGAUGGUGUCGGUCUUGAACGGUUUGACGUAGACGGCGUCCACUUCCACCACCGUGAAAAGAUGGCCAGCGACUUUAAAAAAGAGCUCUUCAUUAAGUGCAGCAUUGACUAGUCGUAGCAGAUAGGUUUUGCCAUUUGUUACUGACAGUUUGUAACCUUCCAGAGCAAAAUGAGGGUUUCAUAAUCAGCUUUUUGGUAACUAUUAGUAUUACUAAAAAAAUUUAUAAUGGUAACUAAGAAAUUAAUUACCCUGAGAUGGACAAUUAUUUACGGGGCCAGAGUGUCCGUUGAUCAUGUGAGCGUCAGAGACAUUAGAGGCUAAUCCAGACUUAAGCGCCUCGUUAAUAACGUUUUCAGUAUCUGAUUUCCACCAUUCAGCUGCCAUAAAUGAUGAGCAUUAGUUAGUCAUGCCAAAUUAACAUAUAUUCAUUGCCACAAAAGAUAACCGCAUUCAGCUUUAUAGGUUUUUAAUUAACACGGUGAAGUGCAAGCCACAUGAGAAUUAGAUUCAAUAUAUCCGAACUUUCUAAAAUAGAAUGAUUAAGCUACCUAGAACGAUAACUUUCUCGUGGUCGGGUUUGGGGAACGGAUAGGGAACACCACGUUUGGGGAGGAUAACAAUUGCGCCGUGAACCGUGGCUCGAAGCCACAGGAUGUGAGCGUGCCACCAGAGAGUCCCGCGUUGGCCGGUCAAGGUGUAGUUGUAUGUGUAGACUUGACCUGGCUGGAGUGGGCACUGGGUGAUGUAAGCUGGCCCAUCGGCCCAUCCCGUUCUCACUUGUCUCACACCGUGCCUGUUCUCGGUCGUCCACAGUCACCAAUCAAUUAACUAAUAAACUUACCAAUGAUGAUUCAUUUGAAGAUUAAGUAGGAGGUUACCAGUGGAUGGAGACGUUGUACUUGACGUGAUUAACGACUUUGAUGAGCAACGUGUCGUCUUCUCGUGCGUAGAUUGUGGGACCUGGAUAUCUACCGUUCACGGUCACGGUUGGCUUGCUUGAGCAUAGUCUAGUAAUGUUUUUCAUCACAACCUGUGUGAUUUUCAAACACAAAUAUAAUCAGUAAUAAUUAUAUUGCAAAGUUAGGCAAAAGGGAAAAAGGUAAAUAAAAGAAAAGCAAACCAAUAACUAUAAUCAUUAUCUGAUUGUAAGUUGUAACCAAAAAUAGAUAAAAUCAUACUUCACUUCAUUCACAUGUACGUCAAAAGUCAAAACAUUAUAUAGCCCUUUUAUAUAAAAUGAUUGUCAUGUUUAAAAGGGGGAAAACACCUGACGUACAUAACUUUAAAAUGGUAAUGUGUGCCAGUAAAAGGCUCAUAAGAUGUAAAAAUAUAUUUACAGAAAAUUUAGGUCUAAAUAUCCUAUAUGAAGUAUAAAUUACUUUUUUUUUUUGACAUCAGUACAAAUUACAUAUAUAUGUUCUAAUUAUGUGAAGCCAUAAACCAUAUAUAUCACUACGUAAGCAUGUACGAAAUAUAACUUAUGCUUAUAAGUUACAGUAGUGUGUGUGCAUAUAUAUGGACAUCUUGCGACUACUUCCUAUGUAGCGAAAGAGAUCGGCAUGGCACGUACACGAACACAUAAUAUGUAUGUAUAUAUACAUCUAUGCAAAUGGAUAGAUAUAAACUCACGUUAAAUUUGUAAUGGCGAACCAUGCUCUCCGAUGGAGCUGGGAACACAGACAAGAAGGACACAAGAAACAGAAACCAAACCAUAUGAGACUUCAUAUCUCUCUCUCUCCUCGGUUUCUCUCGUCCUUUCUCUUCUUCUUCUUCUGUGUAUUUAAUAUUCUUGUCUUUGUGUUUGAGAUGAGCGACUGGGCAACGCAAGCUUAUAAAUGAGAGAGGAGAAAGAGUUUAGAAACGAGAGAAGGAGGCAACGUCGUUUUAGGUGGUAGGUCGACCCAAAAUCCAACUCUUUAUAGUUAAGAUUCCCAUUCUUGCCACAACCAAUCUCCCUGACCAAACAAAAGAAAAUUAAUUUUCUUUUCGUACCAAAUUAAUUGUCAAAUCUCGUUUACCAUAUGCUUUAUUUUAAAUUUUGAUUAAUUUCGACAAAACUACAUGUAUUACUAAUUCGAAUUUUAUGUUUGAACUCUUCUGGAUUAACAUGAUUAUUUAGCUAAUUAACAUGCCAAUAAAACAUAUUAAUAUAAUUUUUCUUGGUCUCGAUUAUGCUCAAUUAUUUUACCGGGUAUGUUUGUACUGUUUUAAUUGUUUUUUUGUACUGUUUUAAGUAUUUAUCACUUGUACUGUGUGCAUAAGUUUGUAAUAUAACUGUGAUCAUAUUACGUAGUUACGUUAACUUGUCUGCUCAAUUCCUCACUAAUUUAUUUGAUUUUUACGGACUCUUAUAAUUCUGGAGAUUUUUUUUUUUUUUUGAACACCAAAUGCUUAUAAUUCUGGAGAUCAUUCCAUUGUUUUUGCAUAAAAGGAUAUACGCGUACGUAGAUAAACGGUAUCACUGUAAUCAGCUUGCGCACUGUGUUUAUAAUAUAUAUAGAGCAUCCGAACCAAGUAGUAUAUGCCGAUUUGUCUACAGAAUUAGAUAGAAGAAUGAAAAACCUUAGGUGAACAUUCUGGAGUUAUUAUAUAUACACACACACAUAUAUAUAUAUAUAUAUAUAUAUAUAUAUAUAUAUUUGCGACAGAUCGAUGGACUAAUGAUACUUACUUAUAGUUGACUAAUGUUCAUCUGAAAAUGAUAAUUAAUGGCAUUAACGAUUCAUCAGCAUAUAUGACAUAUGAAUUAUGAUAUUGAUUUCCUAGACUUUAUUUGUCUUAUAUAAGCAAGAGAAAGCUCUUGAUCUUUAUUUUAUAUGAUCUAUAGAUAAUGUAGACUCAUAUUGUUGUCAAGAGGAAAUUUCAAAAUUGUGAAAAGAAAAAAUAUAGACUUAUAAUGUCUAUAGAUUGUGUCAUACUUUGGUGAGAAGUACACGUCUGAACUCGAAGUAACAUUUUAAACGACUACAACAAAAAAUAUACACUAAUUUCGAUAGAUGGUCUUAUAUAUGAAUCCAUUUAAAGAUAUCGUACAUCUCUGUUCCUUCGAGUAUACAUAAAACAUUUUCUGCUUUUUGCAAUUCUGCUUCACACUUUAAUUAAGUAUUUUUAUUUUGUGGCGGUGAGUAUUUAAAAUGUUAUAAUAGAGAUAUAUAGUCUAACUCUAAAUCAGAUAAAAAAACGAAAAAAACUCUUGACCGUGUAUUUAUUCGAUAAUUAACAUGUGAAUGGAUUCUCAAAUAAUCUAACUGCCGGUUCAAGGCAAAUACUUGUGUCUUUAUAGAAAGAAAAAAAAAUCCCAUAAAGUUAGAUUGAUUUGUUAUACUCGAAUUUGGAUAGUGGUUUCAAUAUAGUCGCGCAUAAUAUUAAAAAUAAUGUUAAAAAGUGGCUUAGAAGCUGUGUGAAAUGAGGUGGAGAUUAGAAUGCUUAGAAACUAAGACAGUAAACUAGUUGUGAAAUGGCUUUCACGUCGUUUUAAACAAUGACCCAACAAAGACAGCCUCUCUCUCUUGCUUGGGUUUGUUUCAAAGCUAAGGUUAAUGAGAAAUGCGUUUCACUUUUGCCGUUUUGCUCAUACACAAUAUUGGACAUGUGUGGAAUGGAGAUAGUAAGAACCUAAGAUAUGUUCUUAUUUUAUUACAUUUUGUGGUCGAAUUGCUUAUUAUUAUGUUUUUUUUGUCGUACCGGAGAUGUUGCAGUUAAGCACUUUGUCCGACUCCGACAGAUGACUUGAUGAGUUGUCAUGGUUAAAACGGGUGAAGUGUAAGUAUCCUCCAAGUUGAAGUUACUUAAUUUGUUAUUGUCAUUUUCUCAACAAUCUUUGAAAGAUCAUUGCCGUCCAAACGACAACAUAAUAACAAUAGAAAUUUUAGAAAAUAUCAAUUAGCAUCUAAUUGUAUGUCUUAUCGCCUUUGACCAAAAAGUGUAGCCACAUUGCUUGGUUAACAAUUUUAAAAAAUAACCGGGAUAGAUACUUUGUCAGAAUCAUACUAUUUUAAUAACCGGAGUAGAUAUCGGACCAAAGUCCAAACUAAUAAUAAAAGUCUUAACUCACAAAACGAUAUUAUUUUCUACCCAUUUGAAGAAACGACUGGGCCACAUAGCCUUGGUUCUGGUGUCGGUUUACCAUUGAUACUGUGGUUUUUAUAGCCGGUAUAUGGAUUAAUAUCACAUCGGACCGGAUAGAAGAAAGAGAACCGAGGAGGUUAGGUGAUACGAGAGGAGGCUGGUUCGAACCCAGUAAGUUGCCUGAAUUUUUCGUUAGAUGAUUAAGUGGUUGGGCUGGGCUAUAAUAACUUAGUCUUGGCCCGGGAUUGUUUUCUUCUCUACACGUGUUCCAACUUGAUCCCGCGCGCACGUGCGAGCCACAGGUGUUACAUUGACAAGUUAAAUGUAGAAACGGGUUUAGUAACCGGUUUAAUUCUCUUGAUGUUGGUUUAUUCUACAAGAGUGCAACAUUGUAUCCUUUAGACAAAUCUUUUAAAUAUAUCAAAUGUUUGAACAGAAGAGUGAAAAGUGUGAUGUAUUGUUCAUGUGAGACUUAAGAAAGACAAAACUAGUGGUUCUAACGAAACAAGACAUAACAAAUACAGAUGAAUCCAAAGACAAAUGUCACUGUCUGCAAAUGUUUGGUCCGAACCAGAAGCUAAACUAAAGAAAGCAAAGCUUCCAAGUUGUUCCUCUCCACAAGAGAUUUUCUUUUUUCUCUUUGCUAUAAGCUGAGAUCUUCGACAGUUCUCUAAGAAAAGCCUCUUACAGUCUUACCAAUGGAAAUCGAAAAGAGCUUCAAGAUCCUGCGAGUUUUGUCUUUGCGUUAGUUAGUAUUUGGUUUGGUUUUGUCAAUGAUUCAAAAGCCUUUAUGUUUAUCGACUUACAUACACAAUCUCUGCUUCAGGCGAAGCUGGGGUUAAUUAUCUCUGAUCUCCCGGAUCCUGAACCAUCUUCAUCAUCAUCAUCAUCUUCCUUCACACUCUCAUCUGACUCCUCUCCAGCUAGCUCACGUGCAGCUGCAAGCUCCUUCUCAAGCUCCUCUUGUUUCUCCUGCAGUCCCGACAUGCUCAAAGCAUCAGCUAUCUUCUGCUUGAUCUGCAUCUCAAGCGCCUCGAUCUUCUGACUCCCCUGAUCAGGCAUCCGGCUCGCCUUUGCGGUCUCCACUUUCAGCAACUCAACCAUGCUCUUGAUCUCCGGCGUCCUCACCACCUCCUCAAUCUUCUCGUUGAUCUCUCGGUUCAGCUUCUCAAGCUUCUCUUGAAUGUUUUCGUUCGGAGACUCAGCUACUACCUCCUUCAGAUUCGGUUUCACAGCCUCCAGCUCCAGACCCAUUGACUUCAACACAACAGCCAUCUCUGCUUCAACCUCCCUCUUCGUCUUCAAAACUUUCUCUUUCAGCUCAUCGCUCAACUCUUCAAAAGAAGACGCACCUGAGCUAGCAACCUCGGCUUUAACCGCUUCAACCUUCUCUCUGACCUCAGGACGCUCCACAGCUUCCCGAAACCUCUUAUCAAUCUCCUUCUUCACCGAAGCGGCUUCUGAGGCCGCCUUGGCUCUGGAGAAGUCCUUCAACAUGUCCAGCUUAGCUUUUAAACUCUCGUAGUUAGGAGCUUCGCUCAAACGAGCAUUGAAUUCUUCUUUAAGCUUCUCGAUUCUCUCAAUGAGCACCGGGUGCAUAAGAUGCUCCUCUGCAUUGGCUUUGGAGAACUCCUCCCGCGUCGCGGCUAGCCUCUCCUCUAACCCCAUUGCCUUUGCGGCUUUAGUGUACUCUUCGUCGAUAUCCGAUUUAAGUUUCUCAAUCAUCUCGUUAAGAACUUCACUCGAAAGCUCCACCUCAGACUCUGGAGAGGCUUCCUUGGCUUUCAGAAUCUGCUCCCUCAGCUUCUCAACCUCGCCCUCUAGGUUCCGGCUGGUGGAGGCCACAGCGUCUCUCCUCUUCAUGUUGAUUUUCUUCUCAGGCUCUACUGGUUCACCCUCAAUGAACACUCCGAUCUUUCGGUACUUAGCCAUCCUGUGCUUCAGCAGCUCCUCCCCACUCAUUUUCCCAAAUUCCUGAAGAAGCACAAAAUCAAAAGGUUAGAAACUGUUCUGUUAAAGCGUGUGAGGCAAGUAAACUAUGCUUUACAUUCAUGUUUUCAUUGAUAGCAAUCUUUAUCUGCUGCGAUGUCCAUGAAGGAUCAGCAUGGGCUCCACCAAGAGGUUCCUGUAUAACAAAGUAAGAGAGAGUAACUCACUGAUCCAAAUCAAGAAAAUAUAGAUGCAAGAGAUAGGUUUAGUUACUUACAGGUAUGAUUCCAUCGGCUACAUUAAGAUUGACCAGCUCCUUGGAGGUAAUCCUAAGCUUUUCAGCAGCCUGUGUACAAAGAGAUUCAUUCAAUUGUAACAUCAAAUAUUACAAGAUCACUGAAACAAGUAGCAGAAGAGUGUACAGACCUCAGGAGCAGCCUUGGACGUCUGCCACAAGAUCGCUGCACAGGCCUCUGGACUAUGAAAGCCAAAACAACACACAGACAGACUCAAUCAACCUGUAAUAAUAUCAUAUCACCAUAUCUACAUUUUACCUGGCAACAUAGAAAACUGCGUUUUCGAGCAUCAACAUUUUAUUAGCACAUCCAAUGGCUAAGGCACCACCAGAACCACCUUCGCCAAUGACAAUAGAAAGAAUUGGCACUUUCAGACCAAACAUUGUCCUUAGAUUGUUGGCAAUCGCUUCACCCUAUUAUACAGAGAAGCAUAAGAUGUUGUGCUGGAGAUAAACCAAUACACCUCAAAACAUAAAAAAAAAAGACAUUUCAUGUACCUGUCCUUUUUCCUCGGAUUUAAGGUCUGCAUAGGCUCCAGGAGUGUCAAUGAAUGUAACAAUGGGGAAACCGUGAUGGUCUGCGUAAUACAUCAUUCGUAGUGCCUUCCUGUAACUGUUUUUUUUUGGCAUUACAGAAGAUUUGAUCAGAGUGUUGUUGACUGACUCUUAACAACUCUAUUUAACAACAAACCAGGUAACUUCUCUUACCCAUGAGGAGUAGGCAUCCCAAAGUUACGCAUUAUAUUCUCUUUGGUGUUUCUACCUUUCUGGUGACCGAUGAACAUGUAUCUUUUGCCAUCUAUGGUUCCAAUACCAGUCACAAUGGCUGGAUCAUCAUACCCCGCCCGGUCUCCAUGAAGCUCCAUAAACUGAAAACAAGAGUAGAGAGUCUCAAUCAUGAACUUACAUAAACUUUAUAUGACAAAAAAAAAAGAAGCAAUGUUCAAAAAAUUAGCUAGGUGGAAGACUAGCGACUAGGCAGAUUAUUCGGGGCUUAUUGAUUUUAUUUUAUAUGUAUUUUACAUUUCUAUAAGAUAUUUUAGUUUUGAGUUUAAUUAUAAAAAAAAAAUUUAUGAACUAUCAAAAUUAGAUAUACAAAACAAAAUAAAUUAGACAAAAAUUUAUGGAUUUGUACUAGCAUUAUUGCUUAACUUAACAGAUUUGAACUAAUUUAGAAUGAUUUAAACCGAAUCGAGUUGUCUUAUAAAUCGGAUUUAAAAAAAAAAUCGUUUUGGUUAGGACCAUGGUAAUAAGAGAGCCAGACCUUGUCAGUGAUGUUAUGUAUAUGAUCAAGGAAAGUAGGACGGUUGGGAUGGCGAGCAAUGUUCACACGCUGUAUAGGAGUAAGAUGCGUGUAAAGAUCUUUCAACGCCUGUCUAUACUUAGUCUCCAAAGUGAUAAUCUGCUCAGUAAAGUCCAAACCGGUUUCUUCCGCCAUCUUCCUCACCUGCAUCACACACAAAAAUAGAACCAAUGUUUAAAAGAGAAAAACCAAAACAACUGUUAGUAAAUGAUUACUUACAUCAACAAUCUUCUUCUCGAGUUCAACAAGCGGUCUCUCGAAAUCCAAAGUGACAGGCUUUUGAGCGUUCCCCAAAGGUUUAAAGUCGGAGAGGUAAGACAAGACUCCUCCUUUGACGUUGGGGUCAGGGUUAGCAGGCCAGGGGUGAUCGAACUUCUUGCCUUUCUUGAGCCGAGCUGUCACGUAGAGGUUGUUACUACUCCUUGUAGUAGCUGUAACCAUUGUUCUCCUCCCAAGGGCUCUUAAUGAGACGCCAGUGACACCGUUGGCCGAACUACGCAAGUAAUCCGAAGCAGAAGCGGAAGCUCCACCCAAUGCUAUGGAUGAAUGAGACAUUGAAGCCAUCUCAAUUACUCAAAAAACAGAUCUCAAUCCUGUAGAGAUCAAAUGGGGUCAGAUUCGUUUUCACUACCCUCAUUCUCCCAAUCCUAAAGGUCUAAACUUUAUCAAGAAAAAACAUAAACCCAACUCAGGUAAUGAAAAAACUCACCUUCAAACGGACAAGAGACAACGAAGCCAGAGAGAUCCAAAGAACGAUGGAAUCAGAAGGGGGAAGGGAGAGAGAGCAUCGAGGAGAUCGUUGUUGAUUUUAGAUGAAGGAAACAAGUGUAGGCGAGUGUGUGAGCGUGAGAGAGCGCGUGGAGUUUUGUGUCGAUAAUUCUUAUGCAGAUUUGAUUGGGACGAAGGGAAGAGAAGAACACAACAGCUUCGGAUUAUUACCAAUUUGCCAGAAGUGAUCCGGUUGGGUCGUUAAACCACUAUAAAGUUUGGAUCUUCGUUCUUUGGCACGUGUGCACGUGAUGCCUGGUCCGUGUGAGGUUUAAGUUAUUUAUCCUUUUUUAUUUUAAUUUUCUGGAUAUGUUCCGGUGGAUUUGUUGGGGGUAGGUUAUAGGCCGGUGGUGUGUAUUGGACCAUUAUUUUAUUAAAUCUUUAUAUAUAAAAGAGAGUUUCCUCUCUCCAGGACGCGCCACGUCAGCGGCCAGCUAGAUAAGUCGAUGCCUCUCAUCGCAACACGUGUCGCGUGCGAACGAAACUAUGUGUUUCAUUUAUCUGAGAAUCGUAUUGGGUUUUCCUUAUUUCUUACGUCUUGCGCUCUAUGUCUAUCGUUCGCUGCGGCCCAAUAGAUAUUACGCGACCUCUAACCCUAAUUGCUCAAUCACGUGAAAUCCUUUCGUUCCUCUCUUUCUGCAGCGGCGAUGUAUGACGUCUGCUAUACCUUUCUCUUGAUUGAAACGGCCGGAGUUAUGGAUCCGUCUUUAUUCCAAUUUAAUUCAAUCGUCCACUACAGACUCUUUGCUGCGCCGUUCGUAUCUCAUGGGCGGUGUGGAUCUGUAUAAAUAUGUAAGUACUUCUUAUCUCAGUCUCAUACUCUCUUUAUCCCGGCGAUGAUGAAGAGGAAACUGAGGACCGUAAAAUCUUCUCCGAUGACGAGGAGUACAAAGUGUUCCGCGACUUUAAGAUCCAGGCCUGAAAGAAUCGGGUAACGUUAUGACCCUUCUUUGUUUAUCCAAUUUUAUAAAGUUGAAUAGUUUAUCUGUUUCAUUUUUAGGGUUUUUUUGAAGAAGAUCCCUUCAGGUCCAUCUUCCCCCUUACUGAUCUGGAAGAACCUUGGAUCGACAUGACCACAAGGGAAUAUUUGGAGUCUAUUGUCUCCUUAUGUGUUAAGAAGCUCAACGAGGAGAAGGUGAGAGUACUCAUCAAUUCAAAUAUAAGCAUUUUGUGUGUUUUAAUUUUGUUGUUAUACUCACAUAUAGGAUGGUUGUGUGUGUUGUUUACUUACUUAGAAUACAACCGAUUUGUAAGCAUCCCGAUGGUCCUCUCAUGGAGUAUCAAGCCAAGGCCAUGGAUUUUGGAGGAAAACCUCCUUUUCCCAUCCUCUGCAGACCAGCUUCUACCAUAUCCUAAGCUAAGACUUGCAUAGGUAUAUUCAUAUGUUUAGUCUUUUAUUUUCUGUGGAAUUACAUAAUUGCUGUGUUAUUUGAAUUACUUAGAGCUCUUUCAAUGUUUGUCGAUGAAGUGAUGUAAACAUAGUUAUUCGCCAUGUCGUUUGGGGUGAUUUUUUUUUUUUAUUCAUCUUAGUCUCUAUUCUCUAAUCCUUCAAUCUGAUCAUUGCAGAUUUGGUAUGCUGGUGGUUGACUACGAGGAAGACCAAUCAUAAUGUAUUGAAAUGAGACUUUUAUGAGUAAGCUGAGUCCCAAGUGGAUUUAGGUUGUAUUGAUGCUAGCUAUAUGUCUUUUGCGUUGAGACUUAUGGAUUUAAUAUUGUUGAGACUUAUUGAUUUAAUAUUAUGGAUUUUAAUGAUGGUUGUUAUAUUAUGUUUGAUGUUUAUUUUAUAUCUUGGAUACUUUUUUUUUGAGCAAAAAUAUCUUGGAUACUUAAAUGGAGAGGAUACCCUUAAUCAUUCGUUGAGUGAGAACGGUUACCUGAGGUAAAAUUGUAAAAGAUAAAAAACUGAUGAAUAUAACUCAUAACGUUAUGAUGUUUAUUAGUUUCUCUUUAUUUGGAGUACUGAAUUUGUUGAUACUUUUGUAUUUCGGACGUUCACAUGAUGCAAUUUUCCAUUAGUAGAUAUAUACACUUAAAUAUAAUUAUGUACAAUAUAUAUAAAUUUGGUUAUUAAUUUUGACGAUGAAGCGAACGUCUUGAUAAAUAUGAAAAUAUUAGACUGUUAAAGAUUUGGCAAAAAAAUAUCUUCCAAUUCAAUGAACAUGAGUUUUUAAAAAUUGUUGACAAGUAUUCAAGCAUGUUCAAAAGAUUGUUCUCAAAGAGAUGACUGGAUUUAGUAAUUUAAAACAAAAUAAAAUAAAAGAAAAGUAGAAACAAAAAUAAUAAUAUUUCGAAAAGAGUUUGGAUUUAAGAAGUCGAAACAUAAGCUAGACAAAAUAAAAAUAAAGAAAAUUGGAAAGAAAAGUUGAUGAAACUAAACAGGAAGUGUAGGCCAAAUUUACUUCUUCUUUUUCUCAAGCAAAUGGUCUCGAUAAAAGAUGUCGUUAGUGGUUCCUGUAAUUAUGAUCCUCCCAUGACAUGCAACUCUCCAGUUGACUCCCCAUGAUAAAAGUCCGGCAGGUGUUCCUCCCACGGUUGAGUGUAGGUUAUUGCGUUUCUGGGAGGUCAAGAAUCUGAAGCGAGGUGGUGAACUCAGGCGGUGUCUUAUAUAAACAUAAACAAAACAUCUUUUAAAAAAUGAAUUCAUCUUGCUUUUUUUUUAUAAAAAAUUUCACUCUUCUGAUGUUUUUAUUGAAUUACAAAUAAAAGAUAUUUAUAUACUAUCAUCAAAUUCAAUACACAUUAUAUAUCAAAUAACUUAAUUAAGUAGAUGAAAUUUAAUUAACAUAUAUUAUAAAGUUAUUUUUUUAGACGACAGAAACAACUAUUAUAAACAAGCAAAAUAUAUCUUAUCACAUAUAAAUCUCUCACCUAAAAUUUUCUAAAAGAAAAAAAUCAUUAUCUACACAUUUUUUUCAAAUGCAAAUCUAAAAACAAAUUACAAAAUCAUACAAAAAGUAGAUCACAAGUAAAGCAUAUCCCGCCCGUAGGGCGGGCCGAUCCUAGUAAAUAAAUAAAAAAAUGUUGUGUUUCGAAAAAUGUGAAAAACAAAAAAACUCUGAAGCUGGGAUUCUCGGAUGAAAGAUUACGACGGAUUGUUGUAACCUCCAACGUGGGAUGAAAGUGGACUUGUUGUAACCUUGUUGUGACACCAACUUCGGAGGUUUCAACAAUCCGUCGUAUUCGGCUUUCAUCCGAAAGACCCGAGUUCAAGUACCGGCGGAGUUUUUUGUUUCUUACAUUUUUUAUUUAUUUAUUUGUCAAAAUAAUGGUUCAGUACACACCAGUGGACUUGAGCCGCAACAAGGUCGCUUGAGCGUCGUUCGGUGGACCAAUUGCAGUCAUUCGAGAUGACUCCAAGAUUGUUCAACUAUAUGCUGAAUCUGCACUAAGAAAGCUCUGUAUCUUUAACUCAGCUGGUGUACUCCUCUCUGAGACUGUUUGGAAUCACCCUGGUGGACGACUCAGUGGCGGAGCUAAACCUAUGUUCCACAUAGGUCAUAAUUCAAUUAUUAUAGAUAAAAAAAACAUACAUGAGAGUUGAACCCAUGACAUGUGGGUCAAACUUAGAUAUUUUAACCAAUUUACCACAGCAGCAACAUUGUAGAUGCACAUAAAACUUAAUAUUUAUAGGUUUCACAUGGGUCAAUUGACCACCCUCUCUCCAAGGUGGCUCCGCCUGGACGUCUUAUUGGAGUGUCCUGGUCUGAUGAUCAGAUACUGAUAUGCAUUGUCCAAGACGGCACCAUCUAUCGUUACAACGUCCACGCAGGGCUUGUGGCGCCUAAUGUGUCAAUGGGUAAAGGUUAUAAUUUGAACAACGUAGGACUAAAGGUUAGUAUAGAAAUUAGUUUGAUUGAGAUAUUUGGAUGAAUAACAAGUAGAUAUUUUAGGUGUUUGUUUUGAGUACUUUAGGUUAUUUUUAAAUAUUUAUUUUUUACUUUUUGGGAUAAUAUUUGGAUACUUUAGCAUAUUUUGAAUAAUUAAUAUAUUUAAAUAUAUAACUAUAAGGUGGAUAUCUUCUGAUAUCCUAAAUAAUUUAGGAUAUCAGAAGAUAUCCACCUUAUAGUUAUAUUAAUAUCACGGUUUGAAUCGGUUCUAAUUUUUCGGAUAUUAAAAUUAUGGAUUAAUUCGGAUAUUUAAUAUGUUUCGGUUCAAUUCGGUAUCGGAGUUCAGAUAGAUAUUUUGCUCAUCCCUAGCAAGACCUAAUACACUUAGGGUUUUGUGUUUUUUUCUUGUCUCAGAGAUUGAUCUGGAGAUGUCUUCCCCGACCAAGCCAGAGCCGACAUGUCUGAUCAUGUCACUCCCAGACGAAGUUGUAGUUGACAUCAUAGCGCGUGUCUCCACACGCUUUCAUCCGUCCAUCUCUGCCGUCUGCAGGCGUUUCAGAUCACUUGUUACGUCGCCUGAACUUUACAAGGCGAGAAGAUCCUUGUCGGGCUGCAAUGAACAUUGUCUGUAUGUUAUUCUCCAGAGCUUCGGUGAGAAUUCCGAAACCCGUGUAUAUAAUCUCCGCCGAAAACCCGACGGGGGUCACCGCUUGGUCCUUGUCUCGUCGCUUCCUGCUAUGCCUCACGAAGCAAGCUUUGUAGUGGACGGUUCAAGGAUACAUGUGUUCGGUGGGUUUAGCCUUUAUGACCGUAGUGAACGGAAUGCGUUAAGCAUAGACUGCAGAUAUCACACGGUGCAGCCCUUACCAACCAUGCCUAAACGCAUGAUUGGCACUCCUCUCGCUCACGUGAUGGAUGGGAAGAUCUACGUGUUUGGAUGUACUAAUUAUUACAACAAGGUCACGGCUGUGUUCAAUACGUUGACACAAACGUGGGAGCCUGAGAUGACAAAGCCACGCAUCGAACUACGCCAUGUGUUGAAUGGACCGGAUGGUUAUGUUAAUAGCAUUGUUUACGAUGGUACCAAGGAAACUAAAUGGGAAACGGAGUGGAUGCUGAAGUUCAACAAGUGGAAGAGCGUGUGUGUCAUUGAUGAUGUGUUCUACUCCUAUGAUUGUCUUUACAACAAGUUAAAAGCCUAUGACACAAAACUUAGGUGUUGGAGUGAGGUGAAAGGUGUUAAAACAUUGUUGCCCACUAACAAAAGUUUAGUUUGGUGGCCACGCGUUGUGAAUUACGGUGGGAACUUGCUUUUCUUGUAUCAGAAAAGGAUUUGUAGAAUAGAAGAGCAUUGGUGUGCGGAGAUUGCAUUGGAAAGACGUCAAGAUGGUGAGAUUUGGGGUAAAGUCGAGUGGUCCGAUGUUGUAAUUGUCGGUGAUUUUUGCUUAAUAGAAUCUCUAGUUGCUACGUUUUGAUGCAUGUUCUCUAGAUGCUAUGUUUUGAUGCAUGAAGCUCUCCUUCAUAUUACUUAAGACUGUGCUUUUUUUUUUUUUAGUUUGGGUAUUUUAAAACUACGAAGAGGCUCAUACUAAUUCCUCAAGGGAAAGUGUAAUUCAUGGAAGCAUCAUCUCAUAUAUGCUUAGCCACACAAUUUUAGUGUUGUAGUCCAUAUACGAGUAGUCCACCCAAUGUGGUUAACUUAUUGUGAUUUGAAAUUUCUUUUCAUCACUUUUUUUAUUUUAUAAAUGAUAUAAUCAUGCACUGAUAUGUUACGUUAAGUAAAAUGUCAUACAACUACAAAGGCGCUAGAAGAACCAGAGAAGCUUGUAAUGGAUCCAACAAGCGACUUAGAAGCUCCGUAAUGUCUUAAUCUAUAAACUCCAGCCACCGCAGACUCAGGUAUCCUCCACUCCACCGUGGCUUGGCUCUCAGGGCUAAGCUUCCCCGGUCUCGACCACUUAAACUUCACACUGAAGUCAUCGUCGUCAUACACUGGUACCCACUUCUCUCCACGUAGCGUCUCCACAACAGCGAAAGAUCCUUCCGUCAUCAGGUCGUUUCUUGGACAUCCCGACCAAAACGUAGCGUUGACUUGUUGGCCUCUCACGAACGUUGACUUGGGAGGCACGUCAGCUUUAACAUCACCGAAGCUGACUCCUAUAGGAGUGGAGUCAACUACCACAGGGGAUAGUAAACUGAUCUGGUUGUCUAAAAGGUCUGGUGGUAAGGGCCCACUCGGGAGUGUUUGACCGUUGACCAAAGCUGUGGCUAGUUUCUUGAACUCUUGGAUAUAAGCGGUGAGUGUGUGUGGGCCGUAUAGCGUCGAAGCUCCCUCGUAUCUUUGAACCUCGUACUCCUCGAAAGUUGCAAUGUACUGAGAAUACGUGUUGGUGAGACCUGCGAUUACCACAUGGAGGUUGUUGCCAAACUGCUUGCUGUCUAAAGAGAUGAGAAAUGACUUCACAGCAUCACGGAGACGCCUUCCAGCCAUUGUGGUGAACUCUGUGUCAAAUUAUAAGCUUCAUUAGGGGACUAAAGAAGGUUUAUGAUGAGAACAAAAGAGAGUCUCAUUGACAUACCUCCAGGGACACUGAGGAUGAUUAGUUGACCAAUGCGAAACAUCUGAACCGGAAGAAUCGAAGGCUGCAUGGUUCAGGCAAGUAACAACCCAUCAAUAGUCUAUAGUUUCAAACAGGACGGUCUAAUAGCAUGUGCAAAUAGAACAGUUGAACAGAGUCCCGAGUCUUAAAAAUUACAAAAAAUUUGAGAUAUUUUCAAAAAUAUAUACAUAAAUUAUGAUAUAGAACUGCCCUGAUUAAUAUAUCAUUAAUAUUAUUUUGAACAAGACAAUAAUUUGAGACGGCCCUGAUUUCAAAUGCUUAUUACAUAAAACAAAGAAUAUAGCCACUCACCGCCCAGUCAUAUGGUGUCUUCAUCUCACCAGUGUCAAGUAAAAUAGGUUUUGGUUUCUGACAUUGGAUCUGGUCCGGACCAGGAGUUGUUAACACGUUCCUCACUAAUCUCCAAAACGCAUUACCCUUUAAAGAAAAGAGAUUUUUUAGUUAGAGAAAGAAAGAUUCAGAGUUAAGAAGCUUAUUAGUUACCUUAUCAUCUCCUUGUUUGAAAUCAAAAGCACCAGGACCAUCAGUUGUUCCAGCAGCAAAACCAAACCCCAUUGCAGCUGGACAUGUCUUCACCGUCUCUGAACCACCACCUGCUUUAGGAACCGUGACUUCAAGGUUUGAGAAAUCUACAUACUCAUGUUGGUAACCAAUCUUCCCCUCUAACUUCUCAGUAGCUUUGUUGAAUAGUCCCACCGCCAUUUUGAACUGCCUUUCUCCAAUGAUACGUGUACUCUCAAACUCAUCAGGGUACCCGGGACCACGGCCAUAGCACAGCUCGUUCUUUCCGUUGCAUGUACUGUGAUUGAAGUCACAAGGCAGUCCAGUGUCUAUGCAAAACGUACCAAGAACAUUUGGACUGACGUCACCACAGUUUGAUUGACAGAAGGCAGAGACGAAUGACGCCUUUCUUACUCGGACUUUAGCAUCAAGACACUGUCCUCUAGAUGACUUAUAAGAAGCUGCAAUAUCCAAAAGCCUGCUGUCUGAAAAGUACACAAAAAACAUAACUUACAUCAUGAUAAGUUUUGUCAUAGAAUUGCCACAUUAGGUAAGUAACUCAAAGACUCACGGUUUUGGCUCAGAUCAGAGACAAUGGUUGAUACUCGUCUAGGGAUCUUCUGUCCACUCUGGAACCAGUCCUCCAUGAAACGCGCUGCUGCGCCUUUGUUAUCUCCACUAAUCAAAGAGUUAGUCCUGCUCAUGGAAGUCCCAUGAGUAGCAAACCAGUUAAAGCUACCAAUAGGUCCCAACUUUGAAUCGACAAACUUGAGGAGCGUCAUUUCUUUGUCGACGUUAUACUUAUAUUUGCUCCUCUCAUCUGCAGGGUUGUUCAGAUAAGAACUAGGACUUCUGUUCACACCAGCAUCCAAAAGGUCCCCUAAUAUUUACACACACACAUAAAGUGAUUUAACUAAAGCAAGAACUUAAUUUGUCUGAAAGCACCCUUAAAGAAGCCAAUUUUUAAAAAAUCGCUAUGCGGUAGUCAGGCGGUUUAUAUGAGAUUAUUGAUUAGGCAGAACAGACUUUUUAAAUGUCUAGAUCGAUUUUUAUUUAAUGUCAAGACCGAUUUAAAAAAAAAAUUGUUUUAGAAAAAUAGUUUCGUUUAGAUUCGAUUUGUCAACUAGGCAGAUGCUUACAAGCCACUAUACCGAUUUUUAGAACACUAUAAGACAAAAGAAAGUACCUUUGUUGACAAAAACAGAACCAGGACGUAGACUUUGGUGAGCUUGCAUGAUGGCUUGCUCAAUGCCAUCAACAAGAACGUCAAAAGACUGACGAACGAAUCCAAGGGACGUGACAAUGUAAGUGACGUACUGAAGAUACCCUCCUGGUCCAGCAUGAGUGUGGAUCCCACUUAUUGCAACGUUCUUCUCUGUGUAAAGAUCACCAUAUCUACAAAAUGAAAUUAUUACAACAUUCUUGUAGAUUAGUUCAAAAUAACACUGACACUGUGCUUAUUGGUCGUUACCUUGCCUUGAGUCGCUCAAGAACUUUGAUGGUAACGAUCUGAGACGCCAUACACGCGUCAAGAUUCACAAACGCGACGCGGUUACCUUGAGGCUCAGCGACGAUGAAGGCACGAGCUCGCAGACGGAAAUGGAUCCCUGAGGCGAUUUGCUCGGAGUUAGCGUAUCCCAUCAUGUUGACGUCAGCGGCUGGACCGGUGAUGUCAUAGCUUCCCACGCCGAUUAAGUACUCGGAAGACGAAAGAACGGCUCUAGUUAAGAGAAGAGACAGUAGAAACUGAAACGACAAUGGAACUGAGACAGCCAUGUUUUGGAGAGAGGAGGAAGAAGGGAGUUGAUGAUGUGUUCUACUCCUAUGAUUGUCUUUACAACAAGUUAAAAGCCUAUGACACAAAACUUAGGUGUUGGAGUGAGGUGAAAGGUGUUAAAACAUUGUUGCCCACUAACAAAAGUUUAGUUUGGUGGCCACGCGUUGUGAAUUACGGUGGGAACUUGCUUUUCUUGUAUCAGAAAAGGAUUUGUAGAAUAGAAGAGCAUUGGUGUGCGGAGAUUGCAUUGGAAAGACGUCAAGAUGGUGAGAUUUGGGGUAAAGUCGAGUGGUCCGAUGUUGUAAUUGUCGGUGAUUUUUGCUUAAUAGAAUCUCUAGUUGCUACGUUUUGAUGCAUGUUCUCUAGAUGCUAUGUUUUGAUGCAUGAAGCUCUCCUUCAUAUUACUUAAGACUGUGCUUUUUUUUUUUUUAGUUUGGGUAUUUUAAAACUACGAAGAGGCUCAUACUAAUUCCUCAAGGGAAAGUGUAAUUCAUGGAAGCAUCAUCUCAUAUAUGCUUAGCCACACAAUUUUAGUGUUGUAGUCCAUAUACGAGUAGUCCACCCAAUGUGGUUAACUUAUUGUGAUUUGAAAUUUCUUUUCAUCACUUUUUUUAUUUUAUAAAUGAUAUAAUCAUGCACUGAUAUGUUACGUUAAGUAAAAUGUCAUACAACUACAAAGGCGCUAGAAGAACCAGAGAAGCUUGUAAUGGAUCCAACAAGCGACUUAGAAGCUCCGUAAUGUCUUAAUCUAUAAACUCCAGCCACCGCAGACUCAGGUAUCCUCCACUCCACCGUGGCUUGGCUCUCAGGGCUAAGCUUCCCCGGUCUCGACCACUUAAACUUCACACUGAAGUCAUCGUCGUCAUACACUGGUACCCACUUCUCUCCACGUAGCGUCUCCACAACAGCGAAAGAUCCUUCCGUCAUCAGGUCGUUUCUUGGACAUCCCGACCAAAACGUAGCGUUGACUUGUUGGCCUCUCACGAACGUUGACUUGGGAGGCACGUCAGCUUUAACAUCACCGAAGCUGACUCCUAUAGGAGUGGAGUCAACUACCACAGGGGAUAGUAAACUGAUCUGGUUGUCUAAAAGGUCUGGUGGUAAGGGCCCACUCGGGAGUGUUUGACCGUUGACCAAAGCUGUGGCUAGUUUCUUGAACUCUUGGAUAUAAGCGGUGAGUGUGUGUGGGCCGUAUAGCGUCGAAGCUCCCUCGUAUCUUUGAACCUCGUACUCCUCGAAAGUUGCAAUGUACUGAGAAUACGUGUUGGUGAGACCUGCGAUUACCACAUGGAGGUUGUUGCCAAACUGCUUGCUGUCUAAAGAGAUGAGAAAUGACUUCACAGCAUCACGGAGACGCCUUCCAGCCAUUGUGGUGAACUCUGUGUCAAAUUAUAAGCUUCAUUAGGGGACUAAAGAAGGUUUAUGAUGAGAACAAAAGAGAGUCUCAUUGACAUACCUCCAGGGACACUGAGGAUGAUUAGUUGACCAAUGCGAAACAUCUGAACCGGAAGAAUCGAAGGCUGCAUGGUUCAGGCAAGUAACAACCCAUCAAUAGUCUAUAGUUUCAAACAGGACGGUCUAAUAGCAUGUGCAAAUAGAACAGUUGAACAGAGUCCCGAGUCUUAAAAAUUACAAAAAAUUUGAGAUAUUUUCAAAAAUAUAUACAUAAAUUAUGAUAUAGAACUGCCCUGAUUAAUAUAUCAUUAAUAUUAUUUUGAACAAGACAAUAAUUUGAGACGGCCCUGAUUUCAAAUGCUUAUUACAUAAAACAAAGAAUAUAGCCACUCACCGCCCAGUCAUAUGGUGUCUUCAUCUCACCAGUGUCAAGUAAAAUAGGUUUUGGUUUCUGACAUUGGAUCUGGUCCGGACCAGGAGUUGUUAACACGUUCCUCACUAAUCUCCAAAACGCAUUACCCUUUAAAGAAAAGAGAUUUUUUAGUUAGAGAAAGAAAGAUUCAGAGUUAAGAAGCUUAUUAGUUACCUUAUCAUCUCCUUGUUUGAAAUCAAAAGCACCAGGACCAUCAGUUGUUCCAGCAGCAAAACCAAACCCCAUUGCAGCUGGACAUGUCUUCACCGUCUCUGAACCACCACCUGCUUUAGGAACCGUGACUUCAAGGUUUGAGAAAUCUACAUACUCAUGUUGGUAACCAAUCUUCCCCUCUAACUUCUCAGUAGCUUUGUUGAAUAGUCCCACCGCCAUUUUGAACUGCCUUUCUCCAAUGAUACGUGUACUCUCAAACUCAUCAGGGUACCCGGGACCACGGCCAUAGCACAGCUCGUUCUUUCCGUUGCAUGUACUGUGAUUGAAGUCACAAGGCAGUCCAGUGUCUAUGCAAAACGUACCAAGAACAUUUGGACUGACGUCACCACAGUUUGAUUGACAGAAGGCAGAGACGAAUGACGCCUUUCUUACUCGGACUUUAGCAUCAAGACACUGUCCUCUAGAUGACUUAUAAGAAGCUGCAAUAUCCAAAAGCCUGCUGUCUGAAAAGUACACAAAAAACAUAACUUACAUCAUGAUAAGUUUUGUCAUAGAAUUGCCACAUUAGGUAAGUAACUCAAAGACUCACGGUUUUGGCUCAGAUCAGAGACAAUGGUUGAUACUCGUCUAGGGAUCUUCUGUCCACUCUGGAACCAGUCCUCCAUGAAACGCGCUGCUGCGCCUUUGUUAUCUCCACUAAUCAAAGAGUUAGUCCUGCUCAUGGAAGUCCCAUGAGUAGCAAACCAGUUAAAGCUACCAAUAGGUCCCAACUUUGAAUCGACAAACUUGAGGAGCGUCAUUUCUUUGUCGACGUUAUACUUAUAUUUGCUCCUCUCAUCUGCAGGGUUGUUCAGAUAAGAACUAGGACUUCUGUUCACACCAGCAUCCAAAAGGUCCCCUAAUAUUUACACACACACAUAAAGUGAUUUAACUAAAGCAAGAACUUAAUUUGUCUGAAAGCACCCUUAAAGAAGCCAAUUUUUAAAAAAUCGCUAUGCGGUAGUCAGGCGGUUUAUAUGAGAUUAUUGAUUAGGCAGAACAGACUUUUUAAAUGUCUAGAUCGAUUUUUAUUUAAUGUCAAGACCGAUUUAAAAAAAAAAUUGUUUUAGAAAAAUAGUUUCGUUUAGAUUCGAUUUGUCAACUAGGCAGAUGCUUACAAGCCACUAUACCGAUUUUUAGAACACUAUAAGACAAAAGAAAGUACCUUUGUUGACAAAAACAGAACCAGGACGUAGACUUUGGUGAGCUUGCAUGAUGGCUUGCUCAAUGCCAUCAACAAGAACGUCAAAAGACUGACGAACGAAUCCAAGGGACGUGACAAUGUAAGUGACGUACUGAAGAUACCCUCCUGGUCCAGCAUGAGUGUGGAUCCCACUUAUUGCAACGUUCUUCUCUGUGUAAAGAUCACCAUAUCUACAAAAUGAAAUUAUUACAACAUUCUUGUAGAUUAGUUCAAAAUAACACUGACACUGUGCUUAUUGGUCGUUACCUUGCCUUGAGUCGCUCAAGAACUUUGAUGGUAACGAUCUGAGACGCCAUACACGCGUCAAGAUUCACAAACGCGACGCGGUUACCUUGAGGCUCAGCGACGAUGAAGGCACGAGCUCGCAGACGGAAAUGGAUCCCUGAGGCGAUUUGCUCGGAGUUAGCGUAUCCCAUCAUGUUGACGUCAGCGGCUGGACCGGUGAUGUCAUAGCUUCCCACGCCGAUUAAGUACUCGGAAGACGAAAGAACGGCUCUAGUUAAGAGAAGAGACAGUAGAAACUGAAACGACAAUGGAACUGAGACAGCCAUGUUUUGGAGAGAGGAGGAAGAAGGGAGAGUAGUGAUAGAUCUUUAAGAGGAGAAAGAUUUCACACGAGAAGUGAUUGUGAGAGAGAAUACGCCAUGAAAGAUUGAAACUUUGCAAAAGCGUGAGUGGGAGAGAGAGAGAAAAGGUGAAUAAAAUUUUCAAAUGUGGAAGCGAGUGGAUGUCGGUAGUGAAACUUCACACUCUGUCAAACCUUAUUUGUUUCUAUUUAUACUAAUCUUGUAUAUUAUGGUUUCAUAUUAGUUUAAAUAGAUCGUGUUUAUUACUGACUAAUUAUCUAUGGUUUGAUGAUGAUGAUAUUAGUUUUUUUACGCGUUUAACGCAUACAUCCUCGAAAUGAGGUUCUUGACAAUAGAUUAAUUUUAUUUUAAUGUUAUUUGAAAAUCAAGCCAAGCCACUUAAAAUCUGGCACAACAUGGUUAGCGAGAUUUCCUCGGAGAACCCGUUUCUUGUUUCUGUCCACUUUUUCAAUUAUUCUCCUAAAUCUAUUAAAAUCUCCACCAAUGACCUUGCUCUAAAAUGCAUCCAAAAUACUACAUAACUAUCACAUUAAAUUUUGUACUAUGGAAAAAGGAGAUGAACAUAGUUACUGCAGAGGUUACAAAUACUAGUAUUGGUUUUUAUAAAUUGUUUGAAUUGAAUAAUAACAUGUUUUAGUUGUUGAUACGCACCCAUCACCCAUGUGAUUCCUCUUGGAGCUGCAUACAUCCAUGUGAACGUGUUAAAACUCUUUGCUUGUCUUGGUAAUAAACUCUUAAAGACGUUCAGUCAUUGACCAUACAUAAGUGGCAAGUGCAAUAAUCAUUCUCUGAUACACGUACUUGCAAAAUCAGAGGUGGGUGAAAUCCUCAACCGUUUCACACGGAAACAAACUUAAUGACCCGAUCUUAUCCGGAUCCGACCAGACUCAACCCGACAAGUAAAUCUCUUCCGUCCCUGUUUCGUGUAAUGAUCACGAGAAAGAAAGUAACAAAAAAAUAAUAGGAUCGGAAUUGACUUUGGCGUUUCCUUACUCUCUAAGAAAAAAAAAAUCUCUUCUUUCUUCUCUUCUAUCGGUUUCUGAUAAGCACAAAGAGAGAGACUCGUGAUCAAUGGAGAAGCCUCUGCUUUCAGGUAAUUCAAUUCAAUAAAGAACCAAACUUUCUCCUCCUCUGUUUUUUAAAUUAUCUCAUCAUUUAUUAUUGGAUCAGAUAAUAAAACUAAGGAACCAGAGAGAUGGGAUUCGUACCAAUACCUUCAGAGAAACAUCUCCUCUGCUCGUAACAACGUCUCUUUCACCGGAGCUGGCGUCACCGUCGAGGAAGUCCGUUCCGCUUCCGCUGUUUCCGAUCCUCCGCCUCUCUACCCUCCCGUUCUAACCACCCCCGUCUCGUUGCCCACUCGUAAGUCUCUCCGACUUUGACCCUUAAAAGUCUGAAAGUUUCAUCCUUUUUGUCGGCUCUGUUUCACAGCGGAAGCUAUUGGCUACCCGAGUGCGUCUGGAGCAGGUCAUGAACUGCAAAGGUACAAAGGUUCCUACUUUUAGUCUCAUUGCUCUUGUUAGGAUUCAAAGAUUGAAGCUUUUACAUUUAUCUCAGGCAGGUGCUUGAUGAGAUUGAGAUAAGAGAGCUGCUGAUUGAUCACAUCGGCCACCGUUGCUGUUGGGGAAGCCGUCCAGCUCGCACGUGGAGGAUCCGUGCGGUCGAAGACUGCAAUGUCUAUGUCGGAACUCUCGACACUUUUAUCGAAGAGAGGGAAGCUUUAACACAGACAGUGCCUUUCAACGGUGGGAACUUCGAACAUGGAUCUGCUCCUGAGUUAUGGCAAAUAGACCUGAGGUCGCAGUUUCCAACUCUCUUUGUUCCUUACAAAGAGACUCGAGUCCCGGUUCCUCAUUCUGAGACUGUUGACAAGUGCACUGGUAAGACUCUUUCUUAUGUCUUUAGUGAUUGUUAGGAUGAUGCUGAAGAGGGCAUUUUUGAUUAAUAGGUUGCGGAUCAAAAGACUGACGAACGAAUCCAAGGGACGUGACAAUGUAAGUGACGUACUGAAGAUACCCUCCUGGUCCAGCAUGAGUGUGGAUCCCACUUAUUGCAACGUUCUUCUCUGUGUAAAGAUCACCAUAUCUACAAAAUGAAAUUAUUACAACAUUCUUGUAGAUUAGUUCAAAAUAACACUGACACUGUGCUUAUUGGUCGUUACCUUGCCUUGAGUCGCUCAAGAACUUUGAUGGUAACGAUCUGAGACGCCAUACACGCGUCAAGAUUCACAAACGCGACGCGGUUACCUUGAGGCUCAGCGACGAUGAAGGCACGAGCUCGCAGACGGAAAUGGAUCCCUGAGGCGAUUUGCUCGGAGUUAGCGUAUCCCAUCAUGUUGACGUCAGCGGCUGGACCGGUGAUGUCAUAGCUUCCCACGCCGAUUAAGUACUCGGAAGACGAAAGAACGGCUCUAGUUAAGAGAAGAGACAGUAGAAACUGAAACGACAAUGGAACUGAGACAGCCAUGUUUUGGAGAGAGGAGGAAGAAGGGAGAGUAGUGAUAGAUCUUUAAGAGGAGAAAGAUUUCACACGAGAAGUGAUUGUGAGAGAGAAUACGCCAUGAAAGAUUGAAACUUUGCAAAAGCGUGAGUGGGAGAGAGAGAGAAAAGGUGAAUAAAAUUUUCAAAUGUGGAAGCGAGUGGAUGUCGGUAGUGAAACUUCACACUCUGUCAAACCUUAUUUGUUUCUAUUUAUACUAAUCUUGUAUAUUAUGGUUUCAUAUUAGUUUAAAUAGAUCGUGUUUAUUACUGACUAAUUAUCUAUGGUUUGAUGAUGAUGAUAUUAGUUUUUUUACGCGUUUAACGCAUACAUCCUCGAAAUGAGGUUCUUGACAAUAGAUUAAUUUUAUUUUAAUGUUAUUUGAAAAUCAAGCCAAGCCACUUAAAAUCUGGCACAACAUGGUUAGCGAGAUUUCCUCGGAGAACCCGUUUCUUGUUUCUGUCCACUUUUUCAAUUAUUCUCCUAAAUCUAUUAAAAUCUCCACCAAUGACCUUGCUCUAAAAUGCAUCCAAAAUACUACAUAACUAUCACAUUAAAUUUUGUACUAUGGAAAAAGGAGAUGAACAUAGUUACUGCAGAGGUUACAAAUACUAGUAUUGGUUUUUAUAAAUUGUUUGAAUUGAAUAAUAACAUGUUUUAGUUGUUGAUACGCACCCAUCACCCAUGUGAUUCCUCUUGGAGCUGCAUACAUCCAUGUGAACGUGUUAAAACUCUUUGCUUGUCUUGGUAAUAAACUCUUAAAGACGUUCAGUCAUUGACCAUACAUAAGUGGCAAGUGCAAUAAUCAUUCUCUGAUACACGUACUUGCAAAAUCAGAGGUGGGUGAAAUCCUCAACCGUUUCACACGGAAACAAACUUAAUGACCCGAUCUUAUCCGGAUCCGACCAGACUCAACCCGACAAGUAAAUCUCUUCCGUCCCUGUUUCGUGUAAUGAUCACGAGAAAGAAAGUAACAAAAAAAUAAUAGGAUCGGAAUUGACUUUGGCGUUUCCUUACUCUCUAAGAAAAAAAAAAUCUCUUCUUUCUUCUCUUCUAUCGGUUUCUGAUAAGCACAAAGAGAGAGACUCGUGAUCAAUGGAGAAGCCUCUGCUUUCAGGUAAUUCAAUUCAAUAAAGAACCAAACUUUCUCCUCCUCUGUUUUUUAAAUUAUCUCAUCAUUUAUUAUUGGAUCAGAUAAUAAAACUAAGGAACCAGAGAGAUGGGAUUCGUACCAAUACCUUCAGAGAAACAUCUCCUCUGCUCGUAACAACGUCUCUUUCACCGGAGCUGGCGUCACCGUCGAGGAAGUCCGUUCCGCUUCCGCUGUUUCCGAUCCUCCGCCUCUCUACCCUCCCGUUCUAACCACCCCCGUCUCGUUGCCCACUCGUAAGUCUCUCCGACUUUGACCCUUAAAAGUCUGAAAGUUUCAUCCUUUUUGUCGGCUCUGUUUCACAGCGGAAGCUAUUGGCUACCCGAGUGCGUCUGGAGCAGGUCAUGAACUGCAAAGGUACAAAGGUUCCUACUUUUAGUCUCAUUGCUCUUGUUAGGAUUCAAAGAUUGAAGCUUUUACAUUUAUCUCAGGCAGGUGCUUGAUGAGAUUGAGAUAAGAGAGCUGCUGAUUGAUCACAUCGGCCACCGUUGCUGUUGGGGAAGCCGUCCAGCUCGCACGUGGAGGAUCCGUGCGGUCGAAGACUGCAAUGUCUAUGUCGGAACUCUCGACACUUUUAUCGAAGAGAGGGAAGCUUUAACACAGACAGUGCCUUUCAACGGUGGGAACUUCGAACAUGGAUCUGCUCCUGAGUUAUGGCAAAUAGACCUGAGGUCGCAGUUUCCAACUCUCUUUGUUCCUUACAAAGAGACUCGAGUCCCGGUUCCUCAUUCUGAGACUGUUGACAAGUGCACUGGUAAGACUCUUUCUUAUGUCUUUAGUGAUUGUUAGGAUGAUGCUGAAGAGGGCAUUUUUGAUUAAUAGGUUGCGGAGGAAGAGGAGAAGUAGUGUGUCCAACGUGCAAUGCUGAUGGAGAGCCUGGGUUUUACAAGGAGAAUCAGGUGAUGAAGUGUUCUAAGUGUUAUGGAAGAGGUUUGAUUGCUCAUAAAGAUGGAUCUGACUCAAUGUAAAGUCUCAUUUCAAGAACUCGAAACUUUCAGUCUGUCUGAUGAGUGCAUAUGCAAACUGUAAACCUUCUUUUUUUUUUCUCACAGAUGUGGAGAAUGUAAUGGUGGGGGAAAGCUUCCUUGUCCGAAUUGCCAAUCUCGUGGGUUAGUCAAAUGCGAGACUUGUGACGGUUCUGGCUCUCUUCUGACAAGCAGCAUUGCAGUUGUAAAAUGGUAAGGUCUUUUAUCAGUAAAUGAAAUUUGGUCUGAGUGGCAAACUAAAAGAUAAACAUAGGCAUUUCGGGUAUUGGUUCGGGUUUUAGUUGGGUAGUUUGGGUCUAAUACCCGGAAAAAAUUGGUUUCCGUUUGUUCGGUUCGGUUAUUUCGGGUAAUUUGGUAAAAUAUUGGGUACGUCGGAUAAAAUAUUGAGUAAUUAGGAUGAUUCGGAUAGAAUAAUUUGGAUUAUUUUAGAUAUUUAGGAUUAAAGUAUUCAAAUACUUUUGGAUACUGAUAAUAGCUUUUUAAUAUAUAUUUAGGUAUGUUAAAAAUAUCUUUAGAUAUUGGUUCGGUUUUCGGUGCAGUUAUUUUAGAUAUAGAAAUAUAGGAACUGUUCGGUUAUUCCACGGUUUUAGUAUUUCUUUUCCAGUUCUGGUUAUUUUUUGCCCAAGCCUACUAAAAGACUUGAUUUUUAUUUUUGCGUUUCGACAGGAAGACACUGUCAAAGCGAAAGGUGAGUGCAACGAGAGGAGCUGGCUCUGUACCAGAAGAAGUGUUUCACAGAGCAGAAGGUGUUCAGCUUUGCAACACACAAGCUUACCAGUGCACACCAGCUUACUUUGCAGACUCAUACUUCCUAAACAAGUUCUCCUCAGAAGUCAUCUCGUUGAGAGCUGAAGUUCCACCAACGGCGAAUGUUGUCUGCGAGAGGCACGCCAUAUCUGUUGUGCCUGUGACACGCGUCACGAUGGAAGAUCGUGGGAAAGCCUUCAACUUUUACAUUAUCGGUUUUGGUAAAGAGAUUUACAUGAAAGAUUAUUACCCAGCUAGGUUCUGCUGGGGGUUGUGUCCUUGUCUUGAGUGGUUAAAAGUUUGAAAACACACAGAGUUGGUCUUUUGAACUUCUCUACUUUGAAUGUAAGAAACACGGAAUAAGGAAAGAGAUUGCAUGUACACAAAACAUAGCAUCAUUAGCAUGCAAUGCAAUGUGUGGUUUAUACAUAUAUAUGAUAGUUUGAAAAUGUGUACAUGAUGAUAGUCUUAACUAAUCCUAAGAAGUGAAAAAGUGAAGAACAAGAGGACAUCAACGGGACUUGUCCGUAUUAAUUCUCCUCUCACUGGAACCUUUUUGUAACAAGAGUAGGCUUCUGGUUUGGUUCUCGGUUCAAUUCAGCAAUUAAAGAAAAAUAAUCUUCGGUUCAGUAAACCGUUAGUCCACAUUUUCUUUUAAAAUAUUUUUCUUUACCAAACUAAUAUAAAAAUUCAAAUCAAACUAACUAAACUUAACCUAAUUUAAAAAAAUAUUUAACUAGUGGUGGGUCUCCAAGAUCCUUUCGACGACCUUUUAAACCGGAAUUUAAUCAAUUCAAAAAUUUUGGUUAAAUUCAGUAUAAAUUUUGAAACUAAACUAACCGGAAAUCAAACCAAUUUUUCCGGUUCAAUUUACAGGCAAACCAAACUAAAUGAAUUCCAAACUAACCAACUCGAAAAGACCAAACUAACAGAAUCCAAAUGCCUACAAGAUAGAUUGCUUUCUACAAACUUAUAGUUCUAAAUUGUGUUCUGGUAUACGAAAUAAAAUCUUGUAACAUCUUGUUAUGAGAUAGGGAGAGCAGUAAAUAAAACAAGGUGGGAGUCUCUUCACUUGGCUUUGUUGGCAUAAGGCUUCUUCUUGGUAAUAUCUUUCUUAGCUUUCAACUUAUCUGAUCAUUUAGGAUUAAAGUAUUCAAAUACUUUUGGAUACUGAUAAUAGCUUUUUAAUAUAUAUUUAGGUAUGUUAAAAAUAUCUUUAGAUAUUGGUUCGGUUUUCGGUGCAGUUAUUUUAGAUAUAGAAAUAUAGGAACUGUUCGGUUAUUCCACGGUUUUAGUAUUUCUUUUCCAGUUCUGGUUAUUUUUUGCCCAAGCCUACUAAAAGACUUGAUUUUUAUUUUUGCGUUUCGACAGGAAGACACUGUCAAAGCGAAAGGUGAGUGCAACGAGAGGAGCUGGCUCUGUACCAGAAGAAGUGUUUCACAGAGCAGAAGGUGUUCAGCUUUGCAACACACAAGCUUACCAGUGCACACCAGCUUACUUUGCAGACUCAUACUUCCUAAACAAGUUCUCCUCAGAAGUCAUCUCGUUGAGAGCUGAAGUUCCACCAACGGCGAAUGUUGUCUGCGAGAGGCACGCCAUAUCUGUUGUGCCUGUGACACGCGUCACGAUGGAAGAUCGUGGGAAAGCCUUCAACUUUUACAUUAUCGGUUUUGGUAAAGAGAUUUACAUGAAAGAUUAUUACCCAGCUAGGUUCUGCUGGGGGUUGUGUCCUUGUCUUGAGUGGUUAAAAGUUUGAAAACACACAGAGUUGGUCUUUUGAACUUCUCUACUUUGAAUGUAAGAAACACGGAAUAAGGAAAGAGAUUGCAUGUACACAAAACAUAGCAUCAUUAGCAUGCAAUGCAAUGUGUGGUUUAUACAUAUAUAUGAUAGUUUGAAAAUGUGUACAUGAUGAUAGUCUUAACUAAUCCUAAGAAGUGAAAAAGUGAAGAACAAGAGGACAUCAACGGGACUUGUCCGUAUUAAUUCUCCUCUCACUGGAACCUUUUUGUAACAAGAGUAGGCUUCUGGUUUGGUUCUCGGUUCAAUUCAGCAAUUAAAGAAAAAUAAUCUUCGGUUCAGUAAACCGUUAGUCCACAUUUUCUUUUAAAAUAUUUUUCUUUACCAAACUAAUAUAAAAAUUCAAAUCAAACUAACUAAACUUAACCUAAUUUAAAAAAAUAUUUAACUAGUGGUGGGUCUCCAAGAUCCUUUCGACGACCUUUUAAACCGGAAUUUAAUCAAUUCAAAAAUUUUGGUUAAAUUCAGUAUAAAUUUUGAAACUAAACUAACCGGAAAUCAAACCAAUUUUUCCGGUUCAAUUUACAGGCAAACCAAACUAAAUGAAUUCCAAACUAACCAACUCGAAAAGACCAAACUAACAGAAUCCAAAUGCCUACAAGAUAGAUUGCUUUCUACAAACUUAUAGUUCUAAAUUGUGUUCUGGUAUACGAAAUAAAAUCUUGUAACAUCUUGUUAUGAGAUAGGGAGAGCAGUAAAUAAAACAAGGUGGGAGUCUCUUCACUUGGCUUUGUUGGCAUAAGGCUUCUUCUUGGUAAUAUCUUUCUUAGCUUUCAACUUAUCUGAUCUCCCUGACUUCUUCUUCUCCUUCUUGUCGUUGUACAUGUUUAUCGCCUAACUCACAUAUACAAAUAAUAUCAGAGGCAAGAGACCAAAACCAGAGAGAGAGAGAGAUGAGAAGUUUUUUCGAUUAUACCUUUCCAACAUUGAGGAUCUCAUGUGAAUGCUUAGAUAAUAACUUGCCAAGUACUUUAUUAGUCUGUUCUUUUUCUUCGUCAACCAUUCCGUACCUUGGUACAACCGGUAAAUACUGCAAAAAAAUCCCCACAAAUUAGAAAAUACAAAUUGACUAAAAGGGAAGGUGAAGAUGACUGAUGAGUGAUGACUAACCUUGUGGUGUUUGCCUUGCUUCUUAGGAGGUUUUUCACCAGGCAAUUUUUUUUAUCGAAUUUACCACCACUAGCGGUUGAUGUAGCAGCUAAACCUGCUACAUCACCAAGUGCAUCCUUUCCAAUUUUCUGUGGCUGAGUUUUGGUGCCUGAUAUGGGCGAUGCAGUUACAGCAAGUUGGACAUGGCUGCAAGUAAAACCAUUUUUGAUAUCUAGUUAUCAAAACCAUGUAACAUGUUGUAUGAUGCUUACUAACCAAUAAAAGAAGUUGUUAAUAUUACCUCGGUAAAGCACCAGCUUUUGCAGCAGUCUUCAAGUUCUGUAAUCGAUUCUUUUCUUGCUUUCCAACUCUCUUCUUUUUAUCAUCUAGUCUCUUGGCAAAAGGGUCUUCUCCUGGUUCUGCAGUUAAGCGAACUUGGUUUCAUCAAGAAACUAACAACAUAAUCUAAAGCAAAAGAUAAGAAAUUGUUCUUUUUUUAGCGCAGGACUUACCAUCUAAUGCCUUUGCUUCAGCUGCUGCGCCUUUGUUAUCUCCACUAAUCAAAGAGUUAGUCCUGCUCAUGGAAGUCCCAUGAGUAGCAAACCAGUUAAAGCUACCAAUAGGUCCCAACUUUGAAUCGACAAACUUGAGGAGCGUCAUUUCUUUGUCGACGUUAUACUUAUAUUUGCUCCUCUCAUCUGCAGGGUUGUUCAGAUAAGAACUAGGACUUCUGUUCACACCAGCAUCCAAAAGGUCCCCUAAUAUUUACACACACACAUAAAGUGAUUUAACUAAAGCAAGAACUUAAUUUGUCUGAAAGCACCCUUAAAGAAGCCAAUUUUUAAAAAAUCGCUAUGCGGUAGUCAGGCGGUUUAUAUGAGAUUAUUGAUUAGGCAGAACAGACUUUUUAAAUGUCUAGAUCGAUUUUUAUUUAAUGUCAAGACCGAUUUAAAAAAAAAAUUGUUUUAGAAAAAUAGUUUCGUUUAGAUUCGAUUUGUCAACUAGGCAGAUGCUUACAAGCCACUAUACCGAUUUUUAGAACACUAUAAGACAAAAGAAAGUACCUUUGUUGACAAAAACAGAACCAGGACGUAGACUUUGGUGAGCUUGCAUGAUGGCUUGCUCAAUGCCAUCAACAAGAACGUCAAAAGACUGACGAACGAAUCCAAGGGACGUGACAAUGUAAGUGACGUACUGAAGAUACCCUCCUGGUCCAGCAUGAGUGUGGAUCCCACUUAUUGCAACGUUCUUCUCUGUGUAAAGAUCACCAUAUCUACAAAAUGAAAUUAUUACAACAUUCUUGUAGAUUAGUUCAAAAUAACACUGACACUGUGCUUAUUGGUCGUUACCUUGCCUUGAGUCGCUCAAGAACUUUGAUGGUAACGAUCUGAGACGCCAUACACGCGUCAAGAUUCACAAACGCGACGCGGUUACCUUGAGGCUCAGCGACGAUGAAGGCACGAGCUCGCAGACGGAAAUGGAUCCCUGAGGCGAUUUGCUCGGAGUUAGCGUAUCCCAUCAUGUUGACGUCAGCGGCUGGACCGGUGAUGUCAUAGCUUCCCACGCCGAUUAAGUACUCGGAAGACGAAAGAACGGCUCUAGUUAAGAGAAGAGACAGUAGAAACUGAAACGACAAUGGAACUGAGACAGCCAUGUUUUGGAGAGAGGAGGAAGAAGGGAGAGUAGUGAUAGAUCUUUAAGAGGAGAAAGAUUUCACACGAGAAGUGAUUGUGAGAGAGAAUACGCCAUGAAAGAUUGAAACUUUGCAAAAGCGUGAGUGGGAGAGAGAGAGAAAAGGUGAAUAAAAUUUUCAAAUGUGGAAGCGAGUGGAUGUCGGUAGUGAAACUUCACACUCUGUCAAACCUUAUUUGUUUCUAUUUAUACUAAUCUUGUAUAUUAUGGUUUCAUAUUAGUUUAAAUAGAUCGUGUUUAUUACUGACUAAUUAUCUAUGGUUUGAUGAUGAUGAUAUUAGUUUUUUUACGCGUUUAACGCAUACAUCCUCGAAAUGAGGUUCUUGACAAUAGAUUAAUUUUAUUUUAAUGUUAUUUGAAAAUCAAGCCAAGCCACUUAAAAUCUGGCACAACAUGGUUAGCGAGAUUUCCUCGGAGAACCCGUUUCUUGUUUCUGUCCACUUUUUCAAUUAUUCUCCUAAAUCUAUUAAAAUCUCCACCAAUGACCUUGCUCUAAAAUGCAUCCAAAAUACUACAUAACUAUCACAUUAAAUUUUGUACUAUGGAAAAAGGAGAUGAACAUAGUUACUGCAGAGGUUACAAAUACUAGUAUUGGUUUUUAUAAAUUGUUUGAAUUGAAUAAUAACAUGUUUUAGUUGUUGAUACGCACCCAUCACCCAUGUGAUUCCUCUUGGAGCUGCAUACAUCCAUGUGAACGUGUUAAAACUCUUUGCUUGUCUUGGUAAUAAACUCUUAAAGACGUUCAGUCAUUGACCAUACAUAAGUGGCAAGUGCAAUAAUCAUUCUCUGAUACACGUACUUGCAAAAUCAGAGGUGGGUGAAAUCCUCAACCGUUUCACACGGAAACAAACUUAAUGACCCGAUCUUAUCCGGAUCCGACCAGACUCAACCCGACAAGUAAAUCUCUUCCGUCCCUGUUUCGUGUAAUGAUCACGAGAAAGAAAGUAACAAAAAAAUAAUAGGAUCGGAAUUGACUUUGGCGUUUCCUUACUCUCUAAGAAAAAAAAAAUCUCUUCUUUCUUCUCUUCUAUCGGUUUCUGAUAAGCACAAAGAGAGAGACUCGUGAUCAAUGGAGAAGCCUCUGCUUUCAGGUAAUUCAAUUCAAUAAAGAACCAAACUUUCUCCUCCUCUGUUUUUUAAAUUAUCUCAUCAUUUAUUAUUGGAUCAGAUAAUAAAACUAAGGAACCAGAGAGAUGGGAUUCGUACCAAUACCUUCAGAGAAACAUCUCCUCUGCUCGUAACAACGUCUCUUUCACCGGAGCUGGCGUCACCGUCGAGGAAGUCCGUUCCGCUUCCGCUGUUUCCGAUCCUCCGCCUCUCUACCCUCCCGUUCUAACCACCCCCGUCUCGUUGCCCACUCGUAAGUCUCUCCGACUUUGACCCUUAAAAGUCUGAAAGUUUCAUCCUUUUUGUCGGCUCUGUUUCACAGCGGAAGCUAUUGGCUACCCGAGUGCGUCUGGAGCAGGUCAUGAACUGCAAAGGUACAAAGGUUCCUACUUUUAGUCUCAUUGCUCUUGUUAGGAUUCAAAGAUUGAAGCUUUUACAUUUAUCUCAGGCAGGUGCUUGAUGAGAUUGAGAUAAGAGAGCUGCUGAUUGAUCACAUCGGCCACCGUUGCUGUUGGGGAAGCCGUCCAGCUCGCACGUGGAGGAUCCGUGCGGUCGAAGACUGCAAUGUCUAUGUCGGAACUCUCGACACUUUUAUCGAAGAGAGGGAAGCUUUAACACAGACAGUGCCUUUCAACGGUGGGAACUUCGAACAUGGAUCUGCUCCUGAGUUAUGGCAAAUAGACCUGAGGUCGCAGUUUCCAACUCUCUUUGUUCCUUACAAAGAGACUCGAGUCCCGGUUCCUCAUUCUGAGACUGUUGACAAGUGCACUGGUAAGACUCUUUCUUAUGUCUUUAGUGAUUGUUAGGAUGAUGCUGAAGAGGGCAUUUUUGAUUAAUAGGUUGCGGAGGAAGAGGAGAAGUAGUGUGUCCAACGUGCAAUGCUGAUGGAGAGCCUGGGUUUUACAAGGAGAAUCAGGUGAUGAAGUGUUCUAAGUGUUAUGGAAGAGGUUUGAUUGCUCAUAAAGAUGGAUCUGACUCAAUGUAAAGUCUCAUUUCAAGAACUCGAAACUUUCAGUCUGUCUGAUGAGUGCAUAUGCAAACUGUAAACCUUCUUUUUUUUUUCUCACAGAUGUGGAGAAUGUAAUGGUGGGGGAAAGCUUCCUUGUCCGAAUUGCCAAUCUCGUGGGUUAGUCAAAUGCGAGACUUGUGACGGUUCUGGCUCUCUUCUGACAAGCAGCAUUGCAGUUGUAAAAUGGUAAGGUCUUUUAUCAGUAAAUGAAAUUUGGUCUGAGUGGCAAACUAAAAGAUAAACAUAGGCAUUUCGGGUAUUGGUUCGGGUUUUAGUUGGGUAGUUUGGGUCUAAUACCCGGAAAAAAUUGGUUUCCGUUUGUUCGGUUCGGUUAUUUCGGGUAAUUUGGUAAAAUAUUGGGUACGUCGGAUAAAAUAUUGAGUAAUUAGGAUGAUUCGGAUAGAAUAAUUUGGAUUAUUUUAGAUAUUUAGGAUUAAAGUAUUCAAAUACUUUUGGAUACUGAUAAUAGCUUUUUAAUAUAUAUUUAGGUAUGUUAAAAAUAUCUUUAGAUAUUGGUUCGGUUUUCGGUGCAGUUAUUUUAGAUAUAGAAAUAUAGGAACUGUUCGGUUAUUCCACGGUUUUAGUAUUUCUUUUCCAGUUCUGGUUAUUUUUUGCCCAAGCCUACUAAAAGACUUGAUUUUUAUUUUUGCGUUUCGACAGGAAGACACUGUCAAAGCGAAAGGUGAGUGCAACGAGAGGAGCUGGCUCUGUACCAGAAGAAGUGUUUCACAGAGCAGAAGGUGUUCAGCUUUGCAACACACAAGCUUACCAGUGCACACCAGCUUACUUUGCAGACUCAUACUUCCUAAACAAGUUCUCCUCAGAAGUCAUCUCGUUGAGAGCUGAAGUUCCACCAACGGCGAAUGUUGUCUGCGAGAGGCACGCCAUAUCUGUUGUGCCUGUGACACGCGUCACGAUGGAAGAUCGUGGGAAAGCCUUCAACUUUUACAUUAUCGGUUUUGGUAAAGAGAUUUACAUGAAAGAUUAUUACCCAGCUAGGUUCUGCUGGGGGUUGUGUCCUUGUCUUGAGUGGUUAAAAGUUUGAAAACACACAGAGUUGGUCUUUUGAACUUCUCUACUUUGAAUGUAAGAAACACGGAAUAAGGAAAGAGAUUGCAUGUACACAAAACAUAGCAUCAUUAGCAUGCAAUGCAAUGUGUGGUUUAUACAUAUAUAUGAUAGUUUGAAAAUGUGUACAUGAUGAUAGUCUUAACUAAUCCUAAGAAGUGAAAAAGUGAAGAACAAGAGGACAUCAACGGGACUUGUCCGUAUUAAUUCUCCUCUCACUGGAACCUUUUUGUAACAAGAGUAGGCUUCUGGUUUGGUUCUCGGUUCAAUUCAGCAAUUAAAGAAAAAUAAUCUUCGGUUCAGUAAACCGUUAGUCCACAUUUUCUUUUAAAAUAUUUUUCUUUACCAAACUAAUAUAAAAAUUCAAAUCAAACUAACUAAACUUAACCUAAUUUAAAAAAAUAUUUAACUAGUGGUGGGUCUCCAAGAUCCUUUCGACGACCUUUUAAACCGGAAUUUAAUCAAUUCAAAAAUUUUGGUUAAAUUCAGUAUAAAUUUUGAAACUAAACUAACCGGAAAUCAAACCAAUUUUUCCGGUUCAAUUUACAGGCAAACCAAACUAAAUGAAUUCCAAACUAACCAACUCGAAAAGACCAAACUAACAGAAUCCAAAUGCCUACAAGAUAGAUUGCUUUCUACAAACUUAUAGUUCUAAAUUGUGUUCUGGUAUACGAAAUAAAAUCUUGUAACAUCUUGUUAUGAGAUAGGGAGAGCAGUAAAUAAAACAAGGUGGGAGUCUCUUCACUUGGCUUUGUUGGCAUAAGGCUUCUUCUUGGUAAUAUCUUUCUUAGCUUUCAACUUAUCUGAUCUCCCUGACUUCUUCUUCUCCUUCUUGUCGUUGUACAUGUUUAUCGCCUAACUCACAUAUACAAAUAAUAUCAGAGGCAAGAGACCAAAACCAGAGAGAGAGAGAGAUGAGAAGUUUUUUCGAUUAUACCUUUCCAACAUUGAGGAUCUCAUGUGAAUGCUUAGAUAAUAACUUGCCAAGUACUUUAUUAGUCUGUUCUUUUUCUUCGUCAACCAUUCCGUACCUUGGUACAACCGGUAAAUACUGCAAAAAAAUCCCCACAAAUUAGAAAAUACAAAUUGACUAAAAGGGAAGGUGAAGAUGACUGAUGAGUGAUGACUAACCUUGUGGUGUUUGCCUUGCUUCUUAGGAGGUUUUUCACCAGGCAAUUUUUUUUAUCGAAUUUACCACCACUAGCGGUUGAUGUAGCAGCUAAACCUGCUACAUCACCAAGUGCAUCCUUUCCAAUUUUCUGUGGCUGAGUUUUGGUGCCUGAUAUGGGCGAUGCAGUUACAGCAAGUUGGACAUGGCUGCAAGUAAAACCAUUUUUGAUAUCUAGUUAUCAAAACCAUGUAACAUGUUGUAUGAUGCUUACUAACCAAUAAAAGAAGUUGUUAAUAUUACCUCGGUAAAGCACCAGCUUUUGCAGCAGUCUUCAAGUUCUGUAAUCGAUUCUUUUCUUGCUUUCCAACUCUCUUCUUUUUAUCAUCUAGUCUCUUGGCAAAAGGGUCUUCUCCUGGUUCUGCAGUUAAGCGAACUUGGUUUCAUCAAGAAACUAACAACAUAAUCUAAAGCAAAAGAUAAGAAAUUGUUCUUUUUUUAGCGCAGGACUUACCAUCUAAUGCCUUUGCUUCAAUAAUGGGGAUAUCGUUAUCAUCGUUAACACGGUCGUAACCAUGGCGACGCUUAAACUUAUCAGUUGUUUCGUCGUAUACAAUCUUGUCCUUCUUGCGCUUCUGUAUACCUAAGAAACAGAACCAAAAACAAAUUUAUCAUCAAACUGUAGAACAAAGAGGUUGUUAACCCAUUAAAUCUGAAUAGAAUAAAACUUGAAAUCCACAAAAAGUAAACUCUCUAAAUCAGCUUUUACCUUUCUUGAGAGCAAACUCUUCCCACUUUGUAGGAGGCUUAGGCCUUGGAAGCUAGGAGAGAGAGAAAGAGAGGAGAACGUUAGGAUAUGAUUAUAGUAGUACAUUCAAAAUAUGAAGUGACAAGCAAAACGCAAGAGAGAGAGAGAGGAGGUUACAUGUUUCUGUCUAGGAAGUUUGGUGGAAGGAGGAGGCAACUGGACAAGGGGACCAUCACUAGUCUCAGUAGAAGAUAAGUUGAAAAGAGUAUCAGCUAUUGCCUGAACUAGUUUUGUUCCCUCCCUUCACAAGCUCCUCCCUAUCUUACAUAAAACAACAUUAAACAAGUAACUCAGCACUGUUCCCUAAUUACAGAAGAUUGUAACAGAGCAAAAAAGAGAAACAAGCUUUACAAUAAAACUGCCUACUUUGCUCUCUUAAUUCAGCAAAUUGAAGUUUUUCAAUCAAAUAAGAACAUAAAAUCUAUUAAAUCAAGAUACAAAACAAUCAUUAAACUGGAAAAGGAAGAGUUUAACAAGAGCUACAAGAAGAUAAAUACGAACCUUGAAGUAGGAGGAGGAGGGAAGCGGUGACUUGGAUUGAAAGCGAGAAGAUUUCCGACAUCGAGCUUGUAGAUUUGGUCCGUCUCCAUGUCAAUGUUUGAAAUUGAAACUGGAGAGUGGAGGAAGAAGAAGAAACAACCUUUUUUUAGUUUGUCAGGGUUUCGGGAUAUUUGAAAAAAGUAAAACAAAUUAUCAGAGCCAGGUUUCGAUCCUGGGACCUGUGGGUUAUGGGCCCACCACGCUUCCGCUGCGCCACUCUGAUUUGUUAGUUACUUAUUGAUCAUACAAUUAUUAAAAUACAAAAUGCUAAACAGAGUCAUAAAUCGGGUCCUGACCCGAACAUCUUCUAGUCGGGUCAACCCUCGAAAAAACCGGUACUGGUUUUUAAUCAUAUUUGCAGGUUUGGUGAUCUAUAACCUUUCAAUCAAUCUCGCUUCAAUUCGAUUCUCGACGCCGUGGAUUUCAACACACAUGUAAGUAUCUCUCUCUCUCUCUUAGUUUUCGUGGUGGAAACGUCGAUCUUUGCUUUGAAAUCUCUAGUCUUGGGAUCUGAGGUUACGGGUAGAUCAAUCAAUCGAUGAGUUAGCUCGAAUUUAACUAGAAAUCCUUUAAAUUGAGAGAUUAGUAUAGUUAAGAUUGAAUCUGAGUCAAUUUAUGUAUGAUUGAAAAAAUGUAAUCUGUAUGAUCUAAAAUGCAACAGAUUGAUUGAAUUUGGAGCUCUCUCUAGGUGAUUAUGUUGCUUGUUGAAGAGAUUAUCUCUCUCUCUUUACCCCCAUGAUUCUUGAUCUUUCUCAACCAUUUGGUGUUGUGUAUUACAGAGAAAUACAUCAUGGGGUUCUGGACACUGAUGGAAGGGUUGUUGCUAUUCGCAAACGCACUAGCUAUCCUCAACGAAGACCGUUUCUUAGCUCCAAGAGGAUGGACACUCACAGAGCUUCACCAAACAGGCAAAAGAAACUCCCUCAAAGGCCAAAUCGUUGGUCUCAUCCACGCCUGCCACUACAUGAGGCUUCCUCUCAUGCUCUUCAACUUAAUCGUCAUCGUUUUUAAGCUCUUCUCCGGUUAAUAACAAAAUAAAAUUAGAUUCUAAUAAUUCAACCCAAACACACUUCUCUUCUUCUUUUUUUUUUUUUGUUAACCCUUGUCGGAACAAGUACUUUGUCGUUAAUUCAUUAAAAUUCAAAACCUGUAUACAUUAUUGUUCUGAAAAGACUUUGGAUCUAGUGUUCUUCAUUCAACAGGGAUCAUGACUUCGUUGGUCUUGAAAGGAGGCAACGUCCACGGAGGAUUAUACCUAGCAAGGACAUAAUCUCCUGUGAUCUUAAACCCAUCUCUCUCGAGAUCACUCCUCAGCUUCUUAACCUUCUCACUCACCACACUCUCCGCGGCAUUUCCACUGAACGUGACCACGCCGUACUUACUCCCUCCUUCCUCCUUAAUCACCACCCUCUCGUCAGUCGGACGCGGCGCGUCCUCCGCCUUCUUGUACAUCUCCGGCAACAGAAACUGCAUCGUCACCGUCUUCUUCUCACUACCUUCUUCCUUGGUCACAACCGGAGCUGUCAUGGCGAUCUUCUCCCCUUCCUUGGUGAUCACCGGAGCUGUCAUGGCGAUCUUCUCAGGCUUCUGGUUCUCAGGUUUGCCGAACACGCCUAUGUACUUGGCCAAGACCGUGAACCCCCCGUCUCUGUUGUCUUUGAACUCAGAAGGAUCAUAAGUGAUCUCGGCCGCAACGGCGGGUGGAUACUCACGGAUCUCGUAACCGUCGCCGGAUUUGACCACGGUGUAUUUGGGUGUCUCCACGGAGAUUUUGCCAAAGACCAUUCCCAUUAUGUAAGCUUUACAAAAAAAAAGUAUUUCUACAGGUUUUGUUAUUUAUCAAUUUGGUUCUUGCGGUUGUUAAAAGCAAAUGUGUGGUUAGCAUUUGAUAAGGUUGUGUAUAUAACGAAGAUAUGGAUAAAACUCAAAUGGAAUGUUUGGAAGCAUCGAGAAGUUUGUAACGACGCGUCAUUGUUACUAUUUGCAUGGUGGCCAAGAUUUAGACAGAAGCAGUUUUGACACGUUUCUGUUUUGUGUGGUUCCGAGUUACUUCCUUCGGUACGAAGGCCCAUGCUCGGUGGUAAGGCCCAUACUCGGUUAUUUCAGAACAGCACGUAUGUUAGGGAAACGGCACGCAGUUAGAGUAUCAAAGGUUUUAGUCCUUUCCGUAUUAUGGAUUAAGAUAUAUACGUUACCAAACAGAAGAGUAGGGUUUUGUCUUGUUUUUUUUUGUCGGCGCCAUGUAUAAAUAUUUCUCCAAGCCUUUGACUGACUGGUUCCUGCGUCUGAUGUUUGAUGGGUUAUGAUUAGUAUAAGGUAGAUUUUUCUAGAGGCUUGUUUUGAUUUUUUUUUCUAGUUCGAGGGUGGUGGAGCAAUCGGUGAUGAAUUCCAUGAAAAAUUGUUAUCCUUGCACUUUGAUUGCUAGUGAAGAUAAAAAUGGGGUUUUCGAUUCUGAGAUGCUCCUGUCCUCUUCUCUUUUGCGUCUUCUUAUCAAAUCUUGAUUUUGAUAUUCAUUUACGGAUUGGAUCGAUGAUUUAUUAGUUUAUUAAACUGCGUUAUCUAUCUGCAAAUCUCCUUCAAGGAGUUUGAAGAAACCUAAAAAAACUGAGAUCUAGCUUUUACGUUUUGAUAACUUGUAAAGAUUUUGGUUGAUGUUAGUAUCAGAUCUAUGAUGUGAUUAUGAAACUGCGUUAUCUAUCUUAAAAUCUCCGAAAUAGGAGUUGCAGAUACUAAACAGAAAACGCUGAGAUCUGAUAUUCAGUUGAUCUGUUCACGAUACUGGCCUUGUUGUUUUGGUUUUGGGAUUAUUUGUGAACUUUUUUUUUGAACUUACAAAAACACACUAAGAUAACUAAACUAUGGGUUAACUAUAGAUGUUCAAUGUCAGAACUUUACACAAAUGAUAAGGCGAACCAAUGAAUAUUGUUUUAGAAACCACACAUUCGUAAACGUUGUGAUGGUGAAUACUGUGUAUACAGAUGAAAAAUAUAUCAGUCAAUGUAAUGGUGAAUAAUAUUGACCGGAAACGAGCUAUGAUGCUGUAAAUGGGACUAUUAAACCGUUAACAUAUCAUAAUUAUACAUUUAUUAGGCCCUAUUAAUGUCCACAUGACUAUUAUUACCUUCAUAAUUCACAUAAUUAAACAAUUAACAUUUCAAAAUUAUAAUUUAGCACUCAAAAUAAUAGGCUUUAUAAAAUACCAAUUCAAAGUAAAAAAAAUAUAAAAUACCAAUUCGAAAUAAAAAAUAUAAGCAUCAUUCAGUGGAAAAAAAAAUAAAAAUAAUAUACACCAAUUCUAGAUGUAUAGCUAAUGAAAUCACAAUCUGCCAUUGAGAAAACAAACGUUAUUUUAUCAUAUUCGUAGACAGCUUGACAUUAUUAAUCCAACGAUAUCCAUAUAGAAACCACUAGGAUUUAUUUGUGUAGACAAACCGGCCCGAUUAGUAAACCGGACGGUUCAGUACUCUAAUUUUGACCCUUAGGACAAAAAAAAAUCGGAUUUUUACCGCGAGAACCAGACGCAAAAAUGCGAAAUUAAACCAACGUAACCAGUGGCGCUCGAAAAUGUUCCCGCUCCCCUCCCGCUCCUUCGUUUACUUCUUCUUAUAAUCUCAUCGUCUCUUCUCUUCUCUCUCUCUAUAUAUAUAUUAAUUCCAGAUUAUCUCCACUCCCGUUUUGUUUUGUUCUCUUUGCUAAAUCGCUUCACUUCGAAGAUUAAAUCGGAGAAAAAUGGCGAGGUCGAACAGAUCCAAGAACUCAGAGCGUGUAGUAGGCAAGGGUAAAGUGACUCCAGUGCAAGUCGCCUUCCUCGUGGAUCGGUACCUUUGCGAUAAUCGAUUCUUAGAGACACGAUCCAUCUUCAGAUCCGAAGCUUCUUCUCUCAUCUCCAAAUCUCCACUCCGUGAAGUAAUAAUAAUACUCAUCUGAAAUUUUUUCAGUUUUUUUAUAUUUUUGAUCCUUAAUGGUUUUCUUAUAAGAUUCUCUCUGUUUAUUAGGCUCCGUGCAGUUUGAUACCACUGGGUGAUAUCUUGAAUGAUUACAUCAGCCUCAAGGAGCACAAAGUCAUUGUGGAUCAAGAGAAGACUCGUGUUCAGAAUCUAUUACAUGGGAUGCAGGAUGUAAUGAAUGCUUACAACUCCACCGCGUCUCCUCCUCCGGCAGCUCCUCCGACGGCUAUACAAGUGGUUGCCUCCUCUACAUCUCAACCAAGCAACAUCUGCGUCUCUCCUUCAGGUACUGUACUACUACUGCUCUUGGGUUAUUACAAAUUGGACUAGUCACUAUGUUAGUUUGCGUUGACAUUGGUUGCCACAUUGUCUGAUUUUAGAGAUUGAAGCUGUUUGAGCUGAUUGUUUAGUUUGCAAUGUGUGUAAAAGAAAGGGUUUCUUUAUCUUGCCAAAGUCUCAGACUUGGUUCAUUUGUAUCCAAAGAAUUUUAAUUUUGAAAGAUGAUAUUUUGAUUUUUGUUUUUUUUAUUCUAAUGGAACUAAUGCUAUGUUCUUGCUUCCAGGCGGCACACCGCACAACACACCUAAUCUCAUGCCAGCAUCAUUGCCAGGCAACAAAAGAGUUGGCAACUUCACAGCUCCUUCUAGCAUUCAGUCUGUAACCAAAAAGCGAAAGUGUCCUGAGGGAGCUGCUCCUUCUGUUUCUAAUAAAGGUCGGUCUACUGCAAACUCUUCUUCUUUUCAUUUGAAUUUUGAUACCUUUUUUUUAAGGCUCCAUCGGUUGUCCUUAAACGUUUGCGUUGUGUCUACUUUUCUUUAUUACAGGGAGGAAAAAGAUACCACCGGUGGAUAACAAUGUAGCUAAUGAGUCAUCUCAUAUUACAUCAAGUGUAGCAAAGUGUUUGUUUGCCAGAUCAGACGUGUCACCUCCGACCAAUCCAUCUUGUCUGAGUACACCACAAAGUCAAGUAUCUCCUCAGAGUGAUGUAUCUAUCACUCCUACAAACUGCACAAUCGUCACUAAGGAGAGAAUCACAGUCAGUCCUCACAAGCAAAAUCCUUCUUACACUGUGGAAAGGAGCCAUAUGGUUUCUUCUUUCUCCCCAAUCAAGUCUAAUGCAAAGAUGUCGAGUAAAAGAGAUCAUGUGAAAGGACGUCUCAACUUCGAUGACGCUGAAGCAACAAUGAACUUAUCCCCACCUGCUUCUGGAGAUUUUGUUUCGACUUCUUCAUCUGGCUCCGAAGCAGAAGUUGAUUUGUUUGAUAUAGAUUUUCUGAGCGAGAACUUUCCAUUCUCGGAAGUGCUUGUCGAUUUCGAUAUUGCUUGUCAAGGAAUGCCAGACCCUUGCCUGCCACAACCAUCAAACUGUUCCUUUCAGUUAGCCUAAGCAGGCUUCUAGAAAGCUUUAACAGUAAUGUAGAUCACACAGUUUUGAAAUUAAAGAAUGCAAUCCUUCAUUUAUUUAUUUGGCUCCUAACUAGUCUCAUGUUAAGUGAAUAUGAGUUUUUUUUUUCUUUAAGAUGUCCUUUACAACUGAAACUAUCUGAAUCAAGCCAAUUACUACAGCUUCUCCACGUUUUUGAUGGCUUACAAUGUAAAGCAGAAGAACCCCCUUUUGUGUCUUCUGCCCUAUAUUCAAAUAUGUUACUGAGUGUAUACUUUUGCUAUCAAAAGAUUCAUAUACUCCUUUUGUUCCAAAAUACAUGAAGUUUUAGAAUGUGAUAUAACUAUUAAAAAACUUAUUUUUUAUCGAAAAAAAUAUCAUUAAAAUAUAAAUUAAAAAUUAUUUAACCAAUCAUAAAACAGAGUACAAAAUAUGAUUGAUUACACAGUUUUUGAUAAAGUUAAAAGGUACAAUGAAAUAUAAAAACAUCAUCUAUUUUGAAAUAACAAAAACUCCCUAAAAUAUCAUCUAUUUUGAAUUGAAACGGAUGUAGUAUAUGCUAGGCCUAGCAUAAUUUUGUAGAGCUUAGAGAGAGAAAUGAAUGAAAACUACUUGUAACUCAAGUUAGAUCAUAACUACUAAUGAAUAACAUAAUAUCAUUUCUUAUAUAAAAGUUAAAACUCAUAAAACAUUAUUGUAAAUCAUUUAAGCUGACCACCUGAAUUGGCUCACCAACUCACCAGUCAUAUGUUUCUGCUGACCAAGAAAAAGGACUUAACAUUUAGAUACAUCCAGUUUCUGGUCUUUUAUAAACAACUUUUCCAGUUUGAGCAUGAACUGCUCAGACUGAACAGCUACUUGUGUUGUCGCUUUCUAUGUUCAUUAACGAACAAACCAUAAAGAGUCAAAAAGAAAAGAAACAAUUUAGAACUGUCUAAGAUCUCGUUUAAAUCUGCAUAGGACCACCCAAAACCGUCUACCUCCACUCCACUUAAUAUAACACACAUGCUUAACUCCAACGCAUAAAUAAUUACCAUAGUCUAUGAGCACCCAGCGUCUAAAUACCGUUUUGACGACCACCUUGAGCGUCUUUAUACAACCUCUAAUACGAACAACAAAUAGUACAUAUCUUAGUACAUAUCUAAAUGCCUCCUACCAGCAUCUUUUAAUGCAUUUACAGCUUAAAAUGACUACUUAGCAAUUUUGCCAAAAAAAAAAAAAAUAGUUAAAAGUUUGAUUCUUUUAGUUUACUACUUAACUCUCACGUAAGAUAAUGAACUAAUUUAAAGUAGGGAAAUUAGGGAGUAUAACCAUGAAAAAAAUCAUAAUUCACCAACUAGCCAUUUUCCUUACCAAACCUAUACACACUGUUAUAAAUCUAUAUUAAUACUGUAAUACCCUUUGCAUCUACCGGUUUAACCUGCUAACUAAAAAAAAUAAAAAAAAUUCUUAACUCACCAAAAUUAAAUUGUAGACUAUCCAACUUCGAAAGGCGAAGAAGACACCACCACUAGUUCUCAGAGAAGUUUUGUGGAAGAGAAGAUUGGUUAGGAAGCUUUGUCGAAGACGAAAUGGGGAGGCUUCUCCGAUUCCAAAGCGACAGUCGUGAAGAUGCUAGAAUAUGUACGUAUUUGGUUUGAAGUAAAUCUAUGUCUCGUGUUGGAGAAGAUGAACAGUUUUUUUAUUAUGUUCUAUUCUAUUAUAUUCAUAUAGAAUAUAAAUAUAAAACAAUAUAUAUAUUUUUAUGCGAUAAAUUCUAUUUCAUUUGACGGUUACUAAAAUUGUUCUAUUUUGUUUAGAAAUAUAUUUUGAUAUUUGGGUUUAGGGUUUACAUUUGGAUUAUGGUUUACAUUUAGAUUAGGAUUUAGUGAUUAGAAUUUAGGGUUUAGUAUUUAUAAGGUGAGGGAGUAUGGUUGAAAUCAGUUUUAACUUCUUUAAUGCAAUCAUACACAUUUCAUAAUUUCACUAUUGGUACUAUGUUAUUUAUUAUGUUCCAUUCCAUUUGGAUUUAGAGUUUAUAUUUGGGUUAAUGGUUUAUAUUUAGGUUUAAGGUUUACAUUUAGAUUAGGGUUUAGUGAUUAGAAUUUAGGGUUUAGUAUUUAUACGAUUGGGGUUGACAAUAUGACAAGCAUUACCACCUUCCAUGAAAGCAUAAUCAUGUCAACAUUUAAGAAAUAUAUCAAAAUGAUAUUUAGAUUGGAACUACAUUUUCACUUUUUCUAUUCUAUAUGUCUCAUGUAGAAUAGUAAUGCAUUUUACUGGAAUUUAGAAAUUUAGAUUUAGUUUAUGCAAGAUUAGGGUUAAGGCUGGAUUAGGGUUUAUGUUUCCAUAGGGUUUAGGGUAUAUUAUUUAUAAGUUGGGGUUGAGGUUGAAUUAUUGUUUAGUAUAUAUGGAUUAUAGGUGUAGUUUGCGUUAUAUACUACUUCGACAAUAUAGAAUAGAAAAUUCGGUGUGUAUAUAUGUGGUCAAUAAACUUGUCACGUGGAUGGUACUUCUUCCUUCACAUUAAAAUUUUUUGGUUCCUCCGUGUCCAUAUUUUUUCUCAAUUACGUUAUCAAUAUAUAAUAUAUUCACCGGAUAAUUGUUGAUGAAGAGGGUAUAACCGGAUCAGUUGUGUCACAAAUGUUAGAUUCUUAAUAAUGUCAAAAUCAUUGCUAGAUUUUUAAUUAUGUCUCCAAAAUUGGCUAUCUCACCAAUAAGCCCUUUAAAGUAUCUGUCGACAUUUUUUAUAGAACAAAAAUCCAAAAAAAAAAGAUUCAAAUGAAAACAAGAAUAUGUAUGUCUUGUCCACUAGAACCAGACCCACCAACUUAAUAAUAUGUUGUUUACUUAAAUUAAUUCCCGUCAGAAUUCGUUUUUACUCCUUUUGUUUCUUUCUUUCUUUUAUUCCUUUGGUGGUUCAACAUUUUGACGUGGAAAAUGAGAUUCCCACUUCUUUCUUAAUUUUAAUCUGUAUGGCUUUAUGAAAAAUUGUUAUUCCUUGCUUGUUUGAAAUAUCUUUCUUCCUCGUAAAAGAAAAACUAAUUAAUCUAGUUUUUAGAUCUGUUUUUUUGGAUAGUCUAAUACAUUGUAGCUUUUUUGGAUGUUCCACUGCUAACUCAUACAAGAUUUAAAUGGUAUAUGUAUAGCUUCCAUAUAUAAUGACAAUGUUGUGUGAAAAAAACACUUGUGGGGGGGAAGUAUAUAUUGAAGAUGAGAUUAAUUGCCUGAAAAAUAACAAAAAUCAAGAGAAUCUGAGAGUGUUGAGAUUAAUAAUUACAUUAAAUUAAUGUUAUCUAACUUAGCUGCUUAAACAACUCAAUUAGACUUCUAAUAAAGAAGACUGAAGACAACAACUCCUACAAUGUACAUAGACCCAAUUGUAAACCGUAGAUGGUGUGGUACAGAGUACAAUUCAAUCCAAAGAGAUCAGGCCGUGAUUAGAUUGGUCGGAAGAAGGAAUGGGUCAAAGUAAAUCCAAAACUGGAUAUUCUAUAAUGUAAUGACAUAACCACCCCUCUAUUGUUUCUAUUUAUGCUCGUUUCUCAACAAGAAUCGAGGACAAAAUGGGUAUUUUCAACUAUGAAAUUACUUUUUGGAAGAAGAUAAUCCUUCGAUCCCGCAAUAUCAGCCGUUGGAUGCGGUGCACAUAGCAAAGACGAAGAUCACGUCGCUUAAACGUUGUACAAAAUCUCUCUAUAAGUCGGAACCAACAUCCCUUAAACUUGGUAGAAACUUGUUCCUUUUUUUUUAAUCUAUCACUAUUCUUUUUGUUAUAUAUAACAGUUGCUUCUUGAUCCAAGAACAAUAUCUUCUUCCUUGAUAACAUAGUGACAUCAUCACUCUGUUCUCAAGCUUGUUCCUGCUCCACCACCACCACCAUCACUCACUCCUCUUUCAAUUUCGUUACACAUUUUCUCACAAAUUAAAUCAUUUUAAAAAGUUUUUGAGUUGGAGUAAAUCACCAAAUCCACCUAAACCCAUUUCUUUAAAUCAUUUCAUUUCUAUUACCGUGGCAUUAGAGAAAAACACACACACAUAACCUUCCAACUUUAGUUAUGACAGAGAUUGAUUUAGAACAAGGAGCGGCGUACGGUUAUCACCGCCGCUCGUUCGGUGGAAGUGACGUCAGCGUAUAUUAUUCAGACGGGGAGGACAUGACGUCAUGUUACUCUUACUUCUAUUCGACCUCGGGAGGACCGUAUGAAUACGAAGGAGGAGAGUCGAGGAAAGUGUCGUCGGUGAUGGGUUUGUCCGAUGUGGAUGAUGAUGAUGGUGAUGAUGAUGCGACGGCGCCGCCGGAGAAAGACUGUAGGAUAUGUCAUUUAGGGGUGGUGGAAACGAGCGGUGGAGGUGCGAUGGAGUUAGGGUGUUCGUGUAAGGAAGAUUUGGCUAUUGCUCAUAGACAAUGUGCCGAAACUUGGUUCAAGAUCAAAGGCGACAAGUUAGUAACCUACUUUUAUCUCCUCUUUAUUUUUUGGUUUAGUGGUUCUACUUUUGUUUAAUUGAGUUCUUAAUUACUUUUAAGAAAAAAAACAAAAUCUUGAAAUUUUUGUUAUUAACGUGUUCAAGAUCUUGUUAUGAUUCUUUCUGCAAUGAAUUACGGGGUUUUAUUGUUUUUUUCACUCUUUAGUUAUACUUUUUUGGAUGUUUUAUUGAUUUCUAUUUAAAAAUAAAAAGUUAUAUAAUUAAGCACGUAAUUUUUUGGUGUUGAUGUGUUAUAUGCACAUGUUGCCGUGACGACUUAAACACCAAAACUUUGUUAGGUUAUAGGAAGAUUAACAUAUUAUUACUGAAACAGAAUCUGCGAGAUUUGUCAAUCGGUAGCCAAAAACGUGGGCAGUGCAAACGAGAUGGUUACGUCAACAGUGGACGAAAGAGAGGUGAGAAACGGUGGAGGCGGUGAGGAGACUGCGGCCGUAGCAGCAGCAAUGGCGAUAGAGAACAGGUGGCAGCCACAGAGAGUGGUGAAUAUAGUGUUAGCUUGUAUGGUCUUUGGCUUCGUCGUGUCAUGGCUUUUCCACUUCCAUGUUUCAUCUUCUUCUUGAAACUUCAAUAUACAUACGCUCUUUCUUUGCAUUCAAACAACAUAUUUUUACUAUCAAGAGUUUUUGAUUCUUUGUAUAUAUGUAAACAAACAAAAACUAUCAAAAAAAAAAAAUGAAUGAUUAAAUCUGGAGAGGAUAAUAAAAAGCAACGUUUCUUAUAAUAAUAAAAUUGACAACAAAAAUAAAAAACAACGUGAUCCAACAAGUCAUUGCUUGGGGGACAAGGAACUGAAAAAUGUACAGAGUAGCAUAGCCCUAACAUCUCUCUAUAAGAGUUCUCUUCAUGAGCAAUGACCAUCAUGUCUUCAUGACGCCAUUGCUUAGCUGUAUUCAUAUAUAUAGUUCUUGCUCCAAGUCUGGUGCGAGUUUUCAUGCGCCGUUCAAUGAGUUAUCAGUGUGAACUCCGUUGCUAUCUAUCUUCCCGUUCACUUGAGCCCUUGGUCUCUAAACACAACCGAAAGAAAAAGAGCAUUAAAGAUCAAACUAUGUGACUGGUUCAGACAAGACAGGUUCAGAUGCGCUUACCCAAUCAGCAGGAUCAACACCGUUCCCAUUCAACAACAGCUUGUGGUUCUCUUCUUUAGUUCUCUCUUUAGAGAUUACUGGGAGCAACACCGUGGUCCGAUCUGGUAACUCUGAUGUACGUAAAAGAAGAAGAUAUGAGAAACCGAGUCUCUCUGCCAAAACAAGACCACAAGACAAGAUAUGAUCAAACCUGGUAGUUUCUUGUCCAGACAAAACACAACCAAGUUAACAGUGUACCUAAACGGAGAAAAGAAUCACAACAACAACUCAGCAUAUCUUUGUAUACAGACAAAUGUUGUUCGUGUGAUAGUAAACCAUACCAGGCAACAACCACAUCGACAGUGUAGUGUUUACGGGAGGCAAUGAUCAAGAGGCUCUGCACGAAAGCAAUGAGCCAUCCAAACAGCUUUAUGAACCUGAGACAGAAGGAGUGAUGCGGAGAUGUCUUUUUACAAAGUAAGCUUUUAAAGAGUUGAUUAAGUUUUAUACCUUUUAGUGCCGUACUUGUGGUAAGUGAGGACAAAGACAAGCGUGAAUAUCAUAUGCGAUGAGAAGAUCAGGUCUCCACAUCCGUACAUCACCCCAUGAGCUGAUGAGUAGAUCAACAUCAGAGAACAUAAGCAAGAAACAAAUGCGUGGGAAAGGAAAGAAAAACAUGUAAACUCACGGUUAAUUUCGAGAACCUCAAGAGCGCUUUUGGGCCAUGGCAACGUGGAAACUUUAGAGCCCUGUUACAAAAGUUGGAAGAACACAUAAGUUUAACCAAUAGACACACUGACACAUGAGGAUCUCAGUUGCUUUACCUCGCGGCAGUGAUAGUUUGGGCCAGGAAGCUGAGUGGAAUAGAAAGUUAUAACACGGAGAAACUGACAUGCCUGAAGACCGAAACAUCGACAAACUUCAAAACUGACAAGACAAAGUAACCUCAGCAAGCUUAAAACACUUACAACUAAGAACGCUAGAACUCUGCACCAUAUCAAGACAGUGUAUAUCUUUUUGCUUUUCAGGAUGAAUGGAUGAAAAGUCCACUGAAAAAAUAAAAAGGCUCAAGGAGUUAUCAAUAUCGAAAAGUCCAGUGAAAAAAACUAUGAAUGUUUGUUUAUAGAGAGACUCACUAGGAAGAAAGAAACAAAAACACUAGUGAAGACGGUUUCACUUAUGUAGCUUCUCUCUUGACCAAGCUCCUAUACAAUGGAAUAACCAAAGUUAUAAGAUAUGUAUUCUGAUCUAUUGAAUGAACAUAUAUAUAUAGCUGGAACGUCUGAGAUCAGACCGGAAGAAGAAAGUAUCCAAGAUCCUGGAGAGUUGGUCCAGGGCGAUGAAUGUAGUGAACUCCUUUAGCAGCUAAACCAUGAAUGUACUGCACACAACAAAGAGUGUCAAAACAACACAAACUCAAGAAACAUGUAUAAUCCAAUCUACAUUGUAAAGACCACAACAAACACUAACUAUUUUGGUAAAGAAAACAAUCCUUAAGAACACUGUUUCUGCUGAAAAAGGAAAGCUUUCUCCAAAAGUUACCAUUUAUAACAAAAAAAAACCAUUAAUCAUACUCCAACAAAGUAGAAGCAAAGAGUCAUUAUUAAACACUCAGCAUAAAAAGUAAAGUUUUCAAUCUGAUCAUUACAAACUGAUGAGAACAAAAGAUGAGAAGCUCACCUGACAGAUAAUGCCAGCGAGAAGGUACUUCCAGUUCUCAGCGAGAAGACCAAUCUCUGUAGUUAUCUCCGACCAAAACCUCUUCCACAGCUAAUAAUAAAAAAAACAAAACGAAUCAGCCACUAAAAUGUGAAAGACACAGAAGUAAAAUGACGAACCUUGGAAGAUUCACGACGAAUGUAAAGAGUCAUAUCUUAUUCUUCUUGUCGUGUCUCAAUCAUUUAGCUCAAAACCAAAACACUCCACCGGAAAAAAACUCAAAUCUUUGUGUAAAGUUCUUUUAUAGUCUCGCCGGAAAAGUGUAUUCAGGGGUCAACGAUCGAGAAGGUCAAUCGAAGAUUCAAGAACGAGAGAUGCAGCGAGUGAACAAGAAUUAACAGAGAGAGAGAGAGAGAGAUCGAAGAAGAAAAGAGAUUUCCUUUUGCAGAAUCUGAGAUUUAAAAGGGCCACCGAGAAACGGUUGAACUGAAAUUUUCAAUUUUAGACAAAUUAAAAUCAUUUUGAACAAAAAAAAUACGUGCACAGAAUAAAAAAAGAACAAAAAAUUAAAAUCAUUAUUUUAUACAUAUUUUUAGAAAAAAAUUAGAAAUAUAAAUAUUUAGUGAGAUUAGAACUCUUUAAAAUGCGUCAAUAACAAACUAAUCAGGAUUAAUUCUUUUAAGUAGUUGUUACUCUAUUUUUUGAGUGAAAAAUAUAAUGAUUAACAAAAAAAAUAAGAUUAAUUAUUUAUAAAGUAAAUUUAUUGUUUAUUCUAUCUUAUAGACUAUAUUUGCGAAGUGAUUUUGCCACAUGUCAUCUCUAUAAUCAUUUUUACAAAAACAAUGAUGACAAAGCUAACAAGAUUGAUGACAUGACUUAUAGUUAAUAUGACAUGGACAAUCACAUUUAUUACUGACAUAUAUUUUUGGUAAACUUUAUAGAAUAUGACAAUAACUAAUACAUUACAUUUAAUGUUGAUUUAUAUUUUAGUAAACUUCUUAAAAUAUGGUAAUAAUUCAUUAAUCAUCACUAAAAUAAAUAUAUUAAAAUAUGCAUUAUAAAUUUCGAAAUAUAUUAUUUAAUUGUAUUUUUAUAAUUAUACAAUUUUUAUUACUAAUAUUUUCAAAAUUUUCUACAUCUUUUUUAAAAUAUUAAUGAAUUGUUAAUCGUAAUUUCAUUAGUUUUUUUUUAGAUAUCUUCAAAUUUUAUAAAUAUUAUUUAGUUAUAAUUUUUAAUAACUAUACAAUUUUUGUAUGAUUUUUUAGUAAUUUUAUACAAGUUGAUUUAAUACAUUUAACCAAAAUAAAUAGAUAAAAAAUUUAUCUAAUAAUCGAAUUUUAAAUAUAUUACUAUAUUAUUAAAUGUAAUUAAAAUAAAAAAUUUCUUUUUUUCUUAAUUUUAUACUUAAAUAAUCAACUUUAUAUUAAAUAUUAGUCAAAAAUAAUAAAAUAUAUAAUAUUAAUAAAUCUCAUUUUAAAUAUAAUUGUACUUUUAAAUAAUUUAUCAAUGCACAUGGUGCACGAAAACACCUAGUUCAACUGAAACGACCAAGAAGUCCACAAAAGAUUAUAUGACCAUAUAUAUAUAUAUUGUAUUGUUAUCUGAAAAAGUAUUUUAGUAAAAAAUCAAAACAUAAAUUAUAUAAUUAAAUAUUAAUUAAAUAAAAUGUAUAACUAAAUUAAAAAAUAAAAAUGAAAUUUAAUUUAAAUUUAUUUGAUUAGAUAAUUAAUUAAAAUUAAUAAUAGUAAGAAUUAUCAAAAAUAUGUAAAUAUAAUUUAAAAAGAGAGAUAAUUUCUGUAUAUAUUGUAUUGUUAUCUGAAAAAAUCUUUUAGUAAAAAGUUAAAAACAUGAACUAUAUAACUAAAUAUUAAAAAUAUGAAUUAUAUAAAUAAAUAUUAAUCAAAUAAAAUGUAUAACUAAAUUAAAAAAAUAAAAACGAAAUUUUAAUUUAUUUAAUUAGAUAAUUUUAAAAGGAGAUAAUUUUUGUAUAUAUUGUAUUGUUAUCUGAAAAAGUUUUUUAGUGAAAUGUUAAAAACAUAAUUAUAUAACUAAAUAUUAAUUAAAUAAAAUUCUUAAUUAUAUAGUUAAAAAUAGAAUAUUGAAUUUUCAAAAAUCUAAAAAUAUAAUUGAAAAAAAGAAGAUUAUUUCUAUAUAUAUAUUGUAUUGUUAUCUGAAAAAAAUCUUUUAGUAAAAAGUUAAAAAACAUAAAUUAUAUAAUUAAAAAUAUAAUAUUGAGUUAUUUUAAAAUUUAUUUUAGUAUAAUGAAUAUAGUGUACAAAGAACUUUUUAAAAAUUUAUGAAUAGUUAAAGCUCGCAUCGCGGACAAACACCUAGUAAAAUAAUAAAAAUACAAUUGAUAAAAUAAAAUAAAAAUUGGAUUUGUGAAAACAACAACAAAACUUCCUUAAAUCAUCAUAUGUAUUGAAAUGGGAAGUAAGAAAAAUCUAUCAUAAUUUUCAACACCAAAGUUAUUUAACAAUGAAUGUAUCUUAUAAUCUUCAAUUCGAAGCAGCAACCCUCAUAUGUUGUUAACAUUCAAGCAAACCACGUAACAAAUAGUUAAUUUUCUUACCUUUAGACUGAUAUAAGAGGUAGAUUCAUACUUAGAUAUUAGUCCAUUAAUAACUAGAUACUAGAUUUUGAUCCGCGCAGGCGCGCGGGUGUACAUUUUGAAAAAUAUGUUGAUAUUUGUUUUUCAUCUAAUUAUUAAGGUUUUACAAAAUGAAUCCAAAGAACAGAACCGAUACCGAUCCGAAAAUAUAGUACCAAACCCGAACAUAAAUUGAUUAAAUAUUCGAAUUAUUCAAAAUUUUGUUAUUUAGAGAACCAAAUCUGAUCCGAACCGAAGUAUUCGGGUACCCGAAUUUAUCUAAAAAUAGAUUUAUAUACUUAUAUAUAUAUUAAUUAUUUUUAGAUUUAACGUAUAUAAAACAUUAAGAAUGAUACUUUUAAAUUGGUUUAAAUACUUGAAAAUAUAUAUAUAUAUAGUCAAAAGUAAAUAUCUGCAAUAGUUAAAGUAUACUCAAAUCACCAAAAAUACUUAAAAUAAUUAUUGAUUCCGUAUCCAAAAUUUUAAAUCAAACCAAUUGAUAUGUUAAGCUUAGGUAUUCUGACAUAUGUUAUUCAAAUUUAUAGGUAAUAUAUUAUUUUAUUUAUAGAUUUUGAGAAAUUUAAAAUAGAUAAUGAUUUAAAACUUUAAAAAUAAUUUAAAUGGGUUAUCCAAACGCGAACCAAACCCGCAAAGAUCCGAAUCAAACUCAAACCAAAAUUUAGAAACAUCCUAACAGGGCUUAAAUCUUUGACUCCGAAAACCCGAAACACAAACCGAUCAGAACCAAACCCGUAUGGGUGCCCGAAAUCUCAUCCCUAUUCAUUAUUAUAUAUCGUAUACUGUCAUCAUAUAAUUAAUUGUAUUUUAUACGUACCAUCAUAUAAGUAAUCAUAUAAUUAAUAGUAUUUUAUACGUGCCAUCAUAUAAAUAAUUACAUAUAUUAUAUUUAUAAAACUUAAUAGGAAAUAUAAAAACGAUAAUUUGAGUUGGUAUUUCAAAUUGGGCUUUGUAUUGUAUUUUUAUUAUAUAUAUUGACAACAUUUUUGUAUAAUGGUUAUUGAAAAAUAGUUUAGUAAAAAUCCAUUUUUGAAUAUAUGUAUUAGUUUUUAAUCAAUUUUUGAUAUAAAUCAACUUUAAAUUAUUAUUUUGAUUUGAAAUAUGUGUAUAAAGUUUAAAUUUUGUUUUAUGGUUAGUUUAGAAAAGAAAAAGUUUUAAGCGAUUAGAUUGACCCGUUUUCGUAUAUUUUAAAUCUCGCCUAGAUAGAUAGUGUUUUAUAAUAUGAUGGACUUUUAAUUUUUCUUAAAAACAUAAGCCCAAUACUUUUUUUUUCUUAAUACUACUAUCCUUGUUUCCAAACAAAAUUAAUUUUUUUUUAAAAGACUACAAUUUAUGUUUCCAAACACUCCAAAUUUUUUUAAUAGUCCUAUUCAAGUCUCCAAACACUCCAAAUUUGUACUUGAGUUUUAAUAAGAUAGACUAGAUUUUGAUCCGCGCAGACGCGCGGGUGUACAUUUUGAAAAAUAUGUUGAUAUUUGUUUUUCAUGUAAUUAUUAAGGUUUUACAAAAUGAAUCCAAAGAACAGAACCGAUACCGAUCCGAAAAUAUAGUACCAAACCCGAACAUAAAUUGAUUAAAUAUUCGAAUUAUUCAAAAUUUUGUUAUUUAGAGAACCAAAUCUGAUCCGAACCGAAGUAUUCGGGUACCCGAAUUUAUCUAAAAAUAGAUUUAUAUACUUAUAUAUAUAUUAAUUAUUUUUAGAUUUAACGUAUAUAAAACAUUAAGAAUGAUACUUUUAAAUUGGUUUAAAUACUUGAAAAUAUAUAUAUAGAUAGUCAAAAGUAAAUAUCUGCAAUAGUUAAAGUAUACUCAAAUCACCAAAAAUACUUAAAAUAAUUAUUGAUUCCGUAUCCAAAAUUUUAAAUCAAACCAAUUGAUAUGUUAAGCUUAGGUAUUCUGACAUAUGUUAUUCAAAUUUAUAGGUAAUAUAUUAUUUUAUUUAUAGAUUUUGAGAAAUUUAAAAUAGAUAAUGAUUUAAAACUUUAAAAAUAAUUUAAAUGGGUUAUCCAAACGCGAACCAAACCCGCAAAGAUCCGAAUCAAACUCAAACCAAAAUUUAGAAACAUCCUAACAGGGCUUAAAUCUUUGACUCCGAAAACCCGAAACACAAACCGAUCAGAACCAAACCCGUAUGGGUGCCCGAAAUCUCAUCCCUAUUCAUUAUUAUAUAUCAUAUACUGUCAUCAUAUAAUUAAUUGUAUUUUAUACGUACCAUCAUAUAAGUAAUCAUAUAAUUAAUAGUAUUUUAUACGUACCAUCAUGUAAAUAAUUACAUAUAUUAUAUUUAUAAAAAUUAAUAGGAAAUACUUCGUAUAUUUUAAAUCUCGCCUAGAUAGAUAGUUUUUUAUAAUAUGAUGGACUUUUAGCCCAUUACUUUUUUUUUCUUAAUACUACUAUCCUUGUUUCCAAACAAAAUUAAUUUUUUUUAAAAGACUACAAUUUAUGUUUCCAAACACUCCAAAUUUUUUUAAUAGUCCUAUUCAAGUCUCCAAACACUCCAAUUUUGUACUUGAGUUUUAAUAAGAUAGAUAAGCUUAAAUUAACCAAUAAUGAUUUGAUGGUUUGUUUUUAUUAGCUGAUUUGAAGAUGUUGAAGGUACAAAAAUGCAUUUUCACUAUUUUUAUACACUGCAGUGCAAACUAUAAAUUAUAAUGUUAUGUUAUAUAAAAUCUUAACUACAGUUGUAUUAAAUUCUAGCCAGCUCAGCCAGAUGAUUGCCAAUAUACCCGACCGAUGGGUUUGAUGCGUACUUGUUCGAUGUUUGUCUCUUCAAAACCACUUCUUCCUCCUCUUCACACCAGUUCUGAUAAUUGCUUACUGCCAACGAGAUAAAGAACGCUUCCAAUAGAAAGACCGUUGAACCGAACUCAGCAGAGUGGAGUUCAUUGUCGUGUGUCACCAUCUUGAAUGCUGGUUCAGUUUUUUCCUGUAAGAAUUUAAAGAAUGUUAACAAUGAUUCAGACCAUCAAUACAUUGAACAUAACUAGUUACCUGAUGAUCAAACAGUUGAAAACUAGAGAAAGUUUGAGACUUUGUACGAUGAUCAUUAGACAAGACACGGAGUUUGCAACCUAUGUCCCAGUCACCGCAGUCGCAUGAUCCACCGGACUCCCACCGCUUAAUCAACGUCAAAGGGGGUGGUGUUACCGUCUUUAGGAAGUGUGUGAGCUCCACUCGGGAGUAUAACACUAGUUAUUCUCUGCUUCUGAACUCUGUUUCUUGUCUGAACAAUAGCUGCAACCUCUUCGUUUGUCUCAACACCGAACAAAACAGAUUCUGAUUUGCGCGUUGCUGAGUCCGAGUUAGUCUUCAUUUGACCGAUGAUGGUAUGUAUAAAUGGAUGGUUGUUCUUGUGGCGGCCUAACCAGUUUCCAUUCUUGUUCUUUACUUCUUUGAUGGUGUACAAGGUGUAAGAACGUGUAGAAGAAUCUGAACUCUUCAUGGUAGCAGCAAGAACGUUGUUGUCAACCACAAACUGAAACAAACUGAUACCUUUUCUCAAAGUGAAUUGCAAAAUAGCAUGAGAUCUUGAGCUGCACUGAUUCUUCUCCAUUUGUAAGGAGACAUUCUUUUCGGUCUUCGGUAUUAUUAAAGGGCCUGAUCUAGCUCUAGUGUGGACAUUAGGCUUUGUUCUGGUGGAGUGAUUGGUGUAAACUGAGUCAUUGAAUGUCAAAGGGCCUGAUUUAUCUGAAGCAUGAGAUGUGCUUGAGAAUGUAGGGACAGAGGAUGAGCUUUCUUUGGAACUGAAGCGCCGGUUGGGAGAAGCAUGUCUUUCUUUUUUGGAUGUCAUUGUAGGUAUCUUUUGAUCCAACAAAGAGUUUUGGGUUCCUCUCUGUUACAUUAACCAAACUUGAACAGUCACCUAGGACAUCAUCUUGUCUUCUAUCUUGAUGUUCUUUAUGCAUCCUUCUCAUGUUUGGAGGAGAGAAACUUAGAUGCUGCUUGGGGCUUUGAAUCUAGCUCCAAUCUUUUGACAACACCGGUUGCUAAAUCUAGCUCCAACGAGCUUGUAGAAGCUUCCAUUGGAUCAGUGUCAUAACUACACCAAGCUCCUUCGGUUCCUUGUGAAGUAGAAUCCACCUUGGAAUGUUCAAACUGUUUCCAAUCCAAAACACCAAAAACUCAAGGCCUUUCCACGGAUAUCUUGAGUUCUUCUUGGUGGAUCCAACAUAUCACGCUUCACCAGCUCAUCUUUGCCUCGAUGAUAUCUAUCCUCAUGAACCGUAGAGGCUCUUUGUUGCCUCACCAUCCCUGCAACCUCAAAGCAAUGGCUCUAUAUUGCAUUCACAAAAAAGUAACUACUUUGUUUUCAACUCUUUCUCUUAAUAUCAUUAGAACACACUAAAAGUUAACUCAAAAUGCUUAAAAUUAACUAUUUUGUAUAUCCCCAAUUUUUUUGUAAGAGUUCUCUAAAAAAUUUCAGUUGUUCUUUUUGUAAUGGCUUGUGAUAAACUUAUUCUUACUAUGAAAAUAAAAUACAUUUAUAUACGUAUAAGGAAAAAAUUUAGAAAAAAAAAGAGAUAUUUGACGUACAAAAGAUACUUUACGUAAUAAGCUACUUAGCAUACGAUAUAUAUAUCUUGCAUUAAUAUGUUUGUUUGUAAGCUAAAAUCGAAUUUUGGUUACAAAUAUACAAUUACAGGGCCAUAUACUUUAUUGAUGGACAGGGCUAGCUUUUUGAAAGAAAAAUCCGACAAGCAAAUCUUGAGUUUGCUUCAUAACAAGAACAUAGCAUAUAAUUCGUAGGACCCAAUCUUUUGCCUCAAGAAGAAACACUUUUUAUAGGAGAGACUAGAGACACCCCUAUUUCCACUAAGACAACGACUUCCCAGUUCUCCUUUUACCCCCAAAUUAAAGGAGAUGUUGACAAGUAAAAGCAACGUCGUAGUAGAGGCAUGGAACACAACCACAACGCAAACGCAGGUGCAGACCCCCCACAGACCGUCACUGAUACACCCAACUUUUUAUUGGAGUUAUAACUGCGAAGUGCUUUUCCAUGGAUGGCCUGGCUCUAGCCGUUCGAUGUAUGCUCUUGCGCUUAUAUUUGUCUUCUCUUUGGCGUUCUUAGCUGAGUGGUUUACCCGGUGCUCUGACGCUGCGGCUUCCAUCAAACCGGAGGCUGAUAAGGUUGCUAAGGUGGCCUUUCGUACGGGUAUGUAUGCGGUCAAGUCUGGCUUCAGCUACCUUGUGAUCCUAGCCGUUGUUUCGUUCAAUGGUGGUGUUUUCAUCUCAGCUAUUUUGGGGCAUGCUUUUGGUUUUGUCGUUUUUCGUGGCCGGGCGUUUCGGAAUGUGGGUCGGGUUGACGGGUAAGAAUCCCGCAUUUUUUGGGUUUUAACCUAACCCAACGAGAACUGAAGUCAUUUGUUUCUUUAUUUAUUUGAUUUGUGUGUUCUUUCGAAUGAAAGAAAGAAGAGAGUUGUUUAUGAUACAACGUUGAAUUGGGUGAGUGGCCCGUUUGUUAUUUGGUUUUCAUUUGAUUUAUUUUGUGAUAACUUCAACGAAUUAUACAAAAGUCAAUAAUACUCUUUCGUGGAAUGUAUAUAUCACCACCAAAUUCAAAUAAGUCAUGUGUCUUUUCAUUUCGUCAUUUCUCCGACUAUUUUGUAAGUAUUAUAGAUAUUGAGUAUGAUAAGUUUUCAAUCUAAAAUCAAUUGGUGAUAACUGAAUUAAUUCAUCUCUCUAAUAUAUUACUUAAGAUGUCUUCUGACUUCCGAUCCUAGAGAUUUUGUCUCUAAUAAUAGAAAACAAAAUGCUUAUUUUAUACCAUCUACUUUUUCAUAAAGACAAUUUUGGUGUGGGUUAUGUUUGCUCACUGCUCACUCGGGAAUUAUAUGAACCAACAAAACAGUGAAAUACUAAACAAGUUGGAUUUGUUGAACAGAUGGAGUUGCUGAAAGGAAGAAAAAAAUCUGGUAGAUAAAAUUUAAAUAAAAACCUUACAAAACUGGAUAAACCGGAGAUAUAAUCCAAACAAAUUACCAAAAAUAUAACUGAUAAAAAAUAUAUAUUUGGAAUCAAAAGUUUAUACAAAAAAAGAAACAGAGUAGGUUCAGUAUAAAUUUUGUUCAUGCAAUGCUCUGUAAAAUGUUAGUCAAUAUGUUUUGUAUUGGAGUUGAAUUCAUUGAAACAGAUCUAUUCUAGUAUCAGUUUUGUGCCAUGGAUAUCAUUGAUCGAUAUCAUAACCGUUGCCAAAUGACUAUACUUAUCUUCAAUAUGACUCUGUCGUCAGUUGUGCAGGUUAAGUUUCCAGAUGUAUAGUUGGUUUUCACUGUAAGAGAUUCGAUAGUGCUGGAUAGGAAAUGAUAUAAUUUUCCAAAAACAUCUGAGCCACUGAGAUUGUUGUAUAGUUAUCAUAUUUAAAUGUCAACACAUGAAUGUCAUAUCGCACAAAGAGACGGUCUUAACUAUUCUGUUGUAAGAGGUACCUUAUCUAAAUCAGUGGAUGUCUCUUAUCUUUGAGAUAUGAUUACUUUCCUCCCAUCUUCUUUGACCUCUAUUUUGAUCAAGAAGACUAGCGCCUUUCAAUUAUCUCAUACAUGGUUACUUUCUAAAUUGUCCCAUGUGCUGUUUUGUUGAUUAGAGAUAUUCUUUGGUUCUCAUGUUAGACUGGUGAAAAGUGUUUUUUUUUUUUUGUAAAAGACGGAUGAAAAAUGUUCUUGGUAUAUAUAUAAAACUUUUUUCUUGGUAUUUAUAUUUGACCAAAACUAUUAUUAAAAAUAAGAUUUCGGUUUUGGUGUUAGACCAAACGGUAGCCUAACUCUUCUCUUAUGUAAGAAGAGUGGUUAUAGUGUGUGAAAAUUUGUUUGCAAUGUAAGUUUAAAGCACCAUUUUGUUUUGGUCUCUUUUUUUCCUCGUAUAGACAUUGACAGAGGUGUCUUUGCACAUAGUGUUACAUAAGAGAAGAGUUAUGUAACA
RNAcentral lists this long non-coding RNA (76428 nucleotides) under Brassica napus (rape). RNAcentral's name for it is "long non-coding RNA (BNAP_LNC002104)". The stretch from base 56753 to 56846 matches the Rfam family "Small nucleolar RNA snoR26". Lineage: Eukaryota; Viridiplantae; Streptophyta; Magnoliopsida; Brassicales; Brassicaceae. The record is from RNAcentral.